Long non-coding RNA from Gasterosteus aculeatus aculeatus (three-spined stickleback), 46380 nucleotides. Lineage: Eukaryota; Metazoa; Chordata; Actinopteri; Perciformes; Gasterosteidae. The record is from Ensembl.
AUAACAAUGUGGUCUAUAUGUCGCUACUGAGCGGGGUCGUUGUGGCGCAGGGGUUAGAAAAGGUGUGCUGGAAGGCACAAGGUUGGUGGUUCGAUUGCUGCCCCAUCUUCCAUGUCGAAGUGUCCCUGAGCAAGACCCCUAAUUGCUCCCCGGGCAAAAUGUGAAAAAGCCAUGGGUUUAAAGUGUAAUGUAAGUCGCUUUGGAUAAAAGUGUCUGCUAAAUGACCUGUAAUGUAAUGUAAUGUACAUUAUCCCACUUUGCAUUAUGAACUCGCAAUUUUUAUUAGCUAUUUCGAAAGAUAUUUUGACGCAGUAUCAAUGUGGAAAUGCAGAAAAAGAAUAACUUCUUCACAAGUCACUUAUGCAGAUAUGUAAUAUUACCACUAAUUGAUUCAAUUAGGCACGGUACAUUAAAAUAAUUCAUAAAAAGGCAUUGUGCCUUGAGGAAACUCUGCCCCUUAUCUUGAUUGACAGGCACAGUUACAGGUUAAAAUAAGCAAGUAUGGCCACCUUAUCAGUUUUUUUUUUUUAUUAUCUCGAGUUACUUAAUAACUUGAAUUACUUACAAUACUAUACAUAGUUUUGAAUAUAUGUUACGUAGCAUUAUUUUGAUAGUUAUUAUGGUUAAAACUUCACUUAUACUUACAUUUUUAUCUUAUUCUGGGAAACGCUGCAUGCAUGUCAUGCAACUUCUUUUUGUGAAUUAUUAAACCUAUAAUACUUUUUUAUUUUUUCAUAAAACAUCUCCUUUCAUUGCCAAGACUAAUCAACACUGAACACCAUGGUAUAUUUCGCACUCUGAAAUCCAGUUUCAGCCUUGAACUCUGUGCUGAUGCAAUUCCUCCUCCUCUAACCCGGCGUGGAACAUAUGUUCUUGAAAAUCACAUUACUUUAAAAUGUACUGAAGUGCUCCACAAAGACAUUUUCAAUGAUCUUUUUCAUUACAUAGAUCUCAAAAGGCGUGUUUUAGUCUUUUUUUUUGGUCUGUUGCUGAAACGUGAAGAAAAUAAAUAUAAGUGGCUCAAUGUGAAGUGCAGUGAGGUAGAGGGACUUCGGUAAAGAGAGAUAGAGGACAAGGACCUACAGCCUUGGUAGAAUAAAAUGAGAUUUCAUGCGACAUUCGCAACUUAAGGGCUUUAUUCCAUGCAGACUUAAAAAAUACAUUUUACACAAAGUGAGGCGUAUAUUUGUUGGGCUAUUCUGCUUCACUGCACUGAGUGUUAAUCAUUGAUGAAUGAAUGGGACACCAGCUUGUGUGUGCUAUAUAUGCAACAAAUCCCUUAAAGUGAAGUCAUACUGUAGUUAGCAGUAUUAGGUUUUUAUCUAAAUUAAAACAAUUCAGAACAUUGUAUUGAAGGCGCUUCAUCAAAUAAAUUUAGAUUUUCUACUUAAGGUAUUUUCAACGGGAUACAUUGUGUUCAUUUGCGUUUGAAAUAAUUAGAAAACCCCAACACAAUAACUGCUGCCGAGGGUUUGCUAAGCAAUGCGGCUGCAUGGUCGCUGGGCUACAUUCACAUUUGCCCAUGACACAGAUUGCUCUGGUUUCAGAGGAGCAAAUCCGCUUGCAAAGGACAGGUGAAAAUGAUGGCCAAAACAGCUGAGCCAAGGCCACCCAAGUUCAGUCUCCACAGCCAAAAUACUUACACCAAUAACUGUACUGUAGCUGGCUAGUUCUCCUUUGUCCGUGUCUUAGACAACAUACGGGAGUAGGCUUUCAUCCAAGUUAGCAGUUGCGCCGAUGUUUUGCAUGCAGUAAGUUUUCAAACAUCUUCGGGGACCAAUCAUUUUGUAUUCAAGCGGAGAGACUCAUGUUGGGAGUCAUGUCAACACUGGACUCUUCGCCAAAUCCCCUCUGGUCUUUGUUAACAUGCUUUUCAGUGCUACUGUCAAUUUUUUUUGCUGUUUUCUUGAUGGUUUAAUCACUUUUAUUUUUGCAGACUGAAUGAUAAUCGUUUUGUCAAUGCAUUUUUUAGGAGGCAGCUGGAGAAGGCAUAAUAAAUGCAUGUGUUCUUGAUUAUUAGAAUGAUAGUCUUGUGCAUGCUACAAUAUGUAGCCCGGUGGCACAGAAGAUGAAAUCCUUACCUGGGGACAAGGACACAGUAGCUGUAAUCAGGAUUUACACAGCAAUGACAAAAAACUCACAAAUUAAGCAUAUGCCUUUAUACAAAUAAAUUGGUUUAUAAAUAAUGAAUCUGGAUGGACUCUAAGGCAUAACAUUAUUUUCACAAUAAAAAUUAACCGCAUUUGGACCAAUGUUGGAUUUUAAUAUAUGUAUGUUGAUUCCCUCAAUUCAGGUAUUUCCAAAUUUUUAAAGUAAUAUUGAUACAAUGAAUAAAAUAAACGUUUGAGAGCAUACAGAUUAGAAAGGUAGUAAAUUGAAGACGCGAUGUUUAUGAUCUUCAUUCUGAAUGCACAAUAACGGAUGGUCUCCUCUGAACAUGUAUUCAUUUGCUUUGUGAGAGCUGAUGUGACUCAGAAAACCUUGACAGCUUGGAUUGAGGUUUUGAGUUACAAGCCUGCCUGAAUCUUCAAUGUGUUAAUAUCUCUUGAAAAAGAAUUACAUACACCGAUGUAGAAAUUGUGCACUUUAAAAGGAGCCCACUGGCUCGAGCCACAUGAAUUAAAGUAACUUUUGUUGGUCUGGAGAUUUUGUAAGAUUUCUCAUUUUGCUCAUUUUGUUAAAAAGCGUAUAUUCGUAAGGAUAGGUAAAUAACGUAAUUUUUGUACAUUCUUCUCGGUUGAACAUAAACAAAGUGUUCGCUGAGCUCCACUCUCCACAGAGUGGAGCUCAGCUGAGGGUAGGAGAUGCCCCAGAGGUCACAACGUUAACUGUCACUAACAAAAGAUUUAUUUCGAGGUUCUUUGGUGUGAUGUUUGUUUUCUGGUGUGCAGCGGCGAGACAUAUGAUAUACUGCCAUCUCUCAUACCCUGUCAGACACUGUCACUGUGGAGGUGUCAGUGUGUUUGUCUAAAUCAUAACGCCAUCAUUUUUUUGAGUGCACAAUUCAACAUUUAUCCUUACGUAAAAGGUACCCGCCAAUCCAAAUGUCUGUGCAAUAUUUAUUUGUAAUGUAAGACAACUGUUUAGACCUUAUUUUGAUCUAACCCGAGAUGGGUAAUGGGGCUGUCCAAAUGUUCUAAAUUAAAAUAUGUGUGUGAAUUUCAACAUGAAACAAUAUAUAUAUAUAUAUUUGUUUGUUUCAUUGAGAAUUAAGGGAAUCAAGACGAUAUUCUAUCCACUCGGUAAUCGUCUGUCAGAAGCAGCUCCCAGGGAAAACAGUGUACAGUGGAUCGCUAGCAAAUGUCCAACUGACAUCCAACAUUUACUGAGGCAAAACAGUUUCACACUCACAUGGUAAGAAAUCAACAGCUUUUGUUGGCCCACAUAUUGAUGAAUGGAUAAUAUUUCACCGCACACCGUAGUAAGUGAGGGGAAUCUGCCUGUAGCGAAACAAGCGCGCUCAGAGAAAUACUGGUUGCCUUGAUUAAUCAGUGUGGAUGCGGUUGAAGACUCUUCUAUAAGUCUUGCUCAAAAACAACAAAGAGAAUGACACUGUGUGAUAACAGCAAGCGCCAUGUAAACUAAGCGCAUGCUCAUCAGCUGACCAAGGUCAGACUAGUGAAUUAGACACUCACAAAAUGGGUGAGGAGUACUUGUUCAUUCAGACAUACUUUCUAAACAGAAAAUACAUGUUUUAUCUAGGAAUAUCUACUUGACAUGCCAAUUUAUUAACAGCAAGGAUCCUUUCAGCUCGCUGGCCUUGGGGACAUUACCCUUGUUUAUUUUCUGUCAACAAAUUAAGUAAAAGUACAGGUAGUCUUAAUACUGUUACAAGCUCAGCCAAACCCCAAUAAAGACAAAACCCUUCAACAUCUUGCAGUUCCCUCAGAAUGUUUGUUCAUCUUCAAAUCUUGGUUUCCCACUUUAUAUAAUCCAAAGGAAUUCAUUGUAGUUAUUUAAGUUGGUCACAGCCACAGCCAUGUUAAUCUUUUUAUGUAUAUCAAUAAAUAGAUGUCAGUAUUUGCCAAUAAACAGAACUGCUUCUGCCAGAUUCUAAAAAACAUUUUGUAUAACUUUUAAUAAGACAAAGAAUUUUGCAUCUGGACAGUUUCUUCAACAUGCUAUUCAUCAGAUUAAACUGACAUCACUUUGAAUGUCUUGGCCUUAACUGAGGUGUUGACAAGAACAAUAAUAGAAUGUUCCUUUUCUCUCAUUUCUUGAUGUGUUGUGGCAGGCGUUAUUUUCAGUUUCCUUAGAAAAUGAUCAUAAAAACUGCAAACUGCUCUUGCUGUUUAACUUACACAUGAUAUUUCUGAGGUAGAUAGGGCCUAGACCAAUAUCCAUAACCUCGAUUUGAAGAAGAUGCAACAGUGCAUCGGUUCAGUUCAAAAUUGCAUCAAGAGAGAAAAAAUAAAAAAGGUGGUGCUUUUGAGAGCCGCUGAUCAAUUCCUGAGGCCACAGUGAGGGUUGUGCCAUCCCAGCGGCCUGAGUUUUCCAUCACUGAUAUUUGAGUGUUGUUUGUGCUUUCCGUGCUCUCAUCCAGUUUUUGUGAUUUUCUACAUGACUCCUGAUAACCUCCACAACAGCUUCAAUUAAAUCAUUCUAAAUCUGAUUUGAUGUGCUGGUAAACACUUACAGGAGAAUAAAUGCGAGGCAAAGUCAUCGUCUCGUCUGCCUAUAACAUUCCGUAGGCUUAGAACACUAGACUGUGAUGUCAUGAUACUUGAAUUGCUAACUUGUAAUACAAUACCUUGAGAAAUAGCAAAAUUUGAAGUGUAUGUCGUAUUUCUGAUACAACAGAAAGAAAAUCCUGUUGGCAUAGCAUCUAGAAAAUCGAAAAGAAAAAUAUAUUAAUGCGGCGCACUUCGAGAGCAAAAUUAAAUAUCUGGGUUAUUAAUGGGAAACACUGAAGGCUGUUCGACGACAGCGACUGAGAAGGCGGGGCAAUGCAGUGGUUAGUGCAGGCGUGUCAAGUGUUUCAGGAGCGAAAAGAGUGAGAAAAACAGAGCUGGUACAGAUGUAUUGAAUGUGCAGAUCAUUAUUCACAUAUGCACUCAUCGCUGGUGGUCCACGACUCCAAAAUGUCAAUUCCAACUGUCAAAAUCACUCUGUGUGCAACGACAGGUCAAAUUCGACAACUCGCGAUCGCAUCUCCGACGCAGAGUGACGUCAACCGAGAGUACCUGUCACCUGGCAUAAGCUCGAUCUUUGCUUCAUCACUGAUCAUUCUACACAGAUUCAGAGCGGUGACGGGCUAAAGCUCAUGAAUUGUAGAUGAAUAAAAUUCAUAAAAUUAUGAAGAACUGUUACAUUUCUUAUUAGAAACCACGUCUGAUUCAAGUACAAGACCUAACCAAUGACAUCACCCUCCUAAAUAAAGGUUAAAUAAAUACAUAAAUCAUCAAAAGCAAUAAUGUUUUCUGUAUUUUAUUUUCACUUGCAUUGGGCCGCUUUAUCAUAUUUAUCUGAAAUGUAUUGCAACAUGCCUCUCUGACAGUCUGCCCAAGGUUGUUGCUCUUUAAUUUGGCACGGACUGUCUAAUCAGAUCAGUCUGCGAGAAGAUGGCUGUCGCUGAUGUCAAGGAAAGGACAGCUGACAGAGACAGACAAUGGAGGGAAGUGAAAAAAUAACGAAGGCUUUUGAGAAAAAAUAUGUAAAGCUUUCCAUGUCUGACAAUCGAACAGUACAGUUUGCACGGUUUGACUGGCCAACAAAAUUCAUAAAACAAUGAAGUUUUUCCUAAAACAUACUCCCGCCUUUCCCUGCAAAUCUUGCCUCUAGUUGAGGGAAACGUGCCCUUGACACUCCCGAUGUGAGCUGUGAUAACGGCUGCUGGUGCAAAUCAGUUUGCUACUUUAACGACUAGAAGAGGUAAGGACAUACUUAAUAAAGCAUCACUGGUAGUAUUUGUGUCAAUGGCUCUUCAGAAGCAUUUUGAAUUCAUCGGAAACUUCACAGACCUGUUAACCGAAAUCAAGCAGUUCUAUCACAUCAGCAGACUUCAUCUGAAUCAUUAAGCCACAUUAAUGAUGCAUAAUAUUCAGUGUGCUUGUCUGUCCAAGGUUCUUUCUUGGGGAGCUUAAACUCACCGAAUACUGAGUAUGUGUGCACAAGUUUUUAAAAGAAAAAGUCGGAUAGGGUUUAUUAGAUAUUAACCCCAGGAAAGGGCUGAUCCUAAUUAUAUGUAUCAAAGCAGCUCAAAUACUAUUUUUUUUCAUUUUAUCUUUCUUGGCUCUGUUUGGCCUUUAGCUGCGUUUUCUAAGACUGGACGUUUUUCCAGUAAGUAACAUUGCAUUCACAUGGUUAUGUAUUCAUGUGCCUGGUUAUGGUUUUACAAUGGCAAGUACUCUCAAGUGACCUCAUCAGCAUUGAAGACUAACUACUUAUGAGAGAUAUUCCCUUCUCAGGGACGUCGGACCUACAGCACGGUGCCUUUGUAUCAUCAGCACUCUUAACUUUGGAAAUUCCCCAUUUUAGAUUCAUGUCUCAGUUUGCUUUGCGAGUCAAGGUCAUGUCAAUGAUAGAUUGCACUUUGCUUUCGUGCCUGAAUUUGAGACCCCUUUAUCUCUAAAAAUCGCUGCCUUAAGGUUCUAAAUUGAGAAAACAGCCAGGGUGUGAUUUCCUCAACCAUCUGAGCAUAAUACAUAUGAGCUGUUCAAUGCCAUUUAUGUGUAGAUCUGCUGGAGUGCAGAGCCGGAGAGCAGGCACCGCCGAAGACCCAUUAUUUCAGACCCCCACAGUUUAAGGCAAUAGCAAAGGUGCUAUCCACGUACCUCAGGACAUUUUCAUUUUCUGCAUUUCAAAGAAAAGUGUAAGACAUUAUAUAUAUAUAGUUCUAUAUAAAAAUACUACUUUUACUUGAUCCCAUUGAUGUAAACACCCCCAAUGAUGUCAUUAGUGACACAGUAUAGUUCAUCUCCUCUGUUUAAAUGCGUUAAGUGUUGAAUUCAGUAUUUCUAAAAAGGUAUUCAUCACACACGUAGAUCCAAAUGCUGUCAAACAUUACCCCCAUAAAAAAAUUAUAUUGGCACGUCAACCAAGCUCAUAAAUUGUGAAUUAAACAUUAUCAUCACGAUAAGUCCAUUGAUGUACUGUAAUGGGUCACCGUAAUUAUAUGCAGCACAGAAUGAGAAGUGAAAAGGCUCAUAGCAGCUAAUCAGGCCAAUAUGGACAAAAUAUUUUAUAUAUUAUGAUCAAAAAUUUACAUCUAUGCAACUGCUCGAUUUCAAACUGAAACUAAAAAUCUCCUCAUCUAUUUUUGGAGAGUUGAGUCCUUUCGUCUUUUCUAUCAUAUUCUAUUUCGAGUAAUGGUUGUGAGAACUUUUUUUCUAGAAUCCAUGGAUGGAGUGUUUCUUCCGUUAUAAUACUAACAAUCCUAGAUAUAAUCUUGGUGGUGUUUCUUAUCCCCAGACAAAGCCACGAGGCUUUCUUGAAACAUCAAUUCAACAUUAGAAUUUGCUCUGCUUUCAUUAGAAGGCAAAGUGCUAUGUGGGUUACAAAGACCAAUUGUUAAAAAAUCCCAAAGCAAAACGUUUUACACAGGGGCGAGUUAAUGAGCACAACAUAGGCUGCUGCUCUCUGACACCAGAAACAAGUUAUGAUCUGUUGUCUAUGGCUCCUGCAGAGCCUUUGACCCACUCUUUGUUUACCCUAUUGCAGUACAUGGUUCCCACCUCGCUGUGUCUCACACCAGUAGGUUCUUCUCGUUACUAACGACAGGCCUGGCCUGAGCGAGGGUACUUAACCAACAACUGGCAUUUGGCACUGUUUUAUCAUUAGACAGUGUCUCUAAAAUGCAAGCUCCAAGGAGCAGAAUAAUCAUACAAACCAAUUAUUGCUGUUGUUAAUUAGUCUGACUCUACGGUUGGGUUGAAAUGCCACCAAUGCAGGUCGGAAGAUGCAACUUCCUGAUGGUGGUUGAUGAAGAAUCUCAGCAUGCCCCUAAGAUGCCAGUAAGUGCCCAUAUGCUUCAUGCAACCAUGUCUGACUCAUCAUUGUCAGAACAACUUUGCAGGUGCGGGUUUUGUCUGAAUGCUGAAAACAGAGCAUUCAAAUAUGGCACAUUUUGUACAGUGAUCAGCUGUAAAUUCAGAAUCGUGUCAUCAAGUUAAGUUAUAACAAUUAAACAUACUCCAACUCCUGACUAAAUGUUUUAACCGCACACUUGCAUCUUUAAUUCUAAUAGUUCAUCAAGUUGUGUUUUCAAGUCAUGGCUGCAAAUAAUGAUUGAUUCCAUUAUUGAUUGAUAACAUAUUUUUUUAAUCUAAUCAAUCGAAUCAGUUAACUAAUUGAUUAAUUGAUUAUUGUUUCCACAAUAAUACUGAAACGUAUUUACACCACACUGCAUUCAUUUUGGCAUAUUUAAUCCUAAACCGUGGUUUCAUUUUGACUGACAAUCUCUUUUCAAUGUCAUUUUAUGUUCAUUUAUACUAAAUAUACUACUACUAUUAUUUAUACUAGACAUUGAAAUGACAACCUUGGAACACUUUGUCCUGCCCACUUUCGUUUGAUUAGGAAUUCAAAGCCUUAGUUGCUGAGCUGGUGUUAUGAUAAUGCACAGCACCCCUCUGUGAUACACAAAAUUGGUUUUGACAACAGGCUAGCUUUUAUAUUCACACUGCCUUGAGACCAUAUAUUUAACAUAUAACACACAUCACACAUAAUCCCUCCCCCCUUUAAGACUGGAGACGGGUAACCACUGCUUGAAUAGAUGUGAGUGACCAAGAAAAUUCAUGAAACAAUGUUGUUUUCCUUAAAACAUACACUCUGCAGAUCUGCCUUCUAGUUGAGGGAACCAUGCCCUUGACACUCCCAACGUCAGCUGUGAUUUUGUCACUCAGAGCUGCAAAUACAUUAUGUGCUGCAGACAUCUUGGAUGUUAAUGACUAGAGGGGGUAGUAUACCCCCCUCCCCUGGUACCUGAGUCUUCUGAGAGCUACCAGCUCUUCAACAAAAAGUAAACAGAUUCUCAUUAUAUUAUCUGUUAUUGGCUUUAGAGUUGUACACAUAAUAACUUGCUGCAUAAUUUUUCUGAUUACAGAGAUCUCUUUUCAACUUCUUUCUAAUAAAAUUAGAACUCUAGUGCAUACACAAAUGAGGCUGCUGAUAUUGAUGGAAGGGAUGUCUACUUCACCAAGCAGCAAAGGUGAAUCAACACAUUUGGCUUCCAAUCGAAGAUGGAAAAAAGACACAUGCCAACCUGUGAGAGGACAUCAGUAAUGGGCUCACAUUUUCCUAAUCUCCUUUGAUGGAUUCAGGCCAUGAUUUUCAUUUAGUCCAAAAGAGAUAACCAAACUGUCAGCUGUGUUGCUUCUUUGCUUUAAUCUCCGCCUGCAGCCAAUAAUCACCCUGCAACCCACGGCCCUUUGUCAAUUGUUAAUCUUGUAUUGGAGACGUUAAGAUGCCAGGGUGGUUUUCUGCAUCCUAGGAUAAUCCAGGAGGCCACUGAGGAGAAGCAAAUUGGAUUCAUUAUUAAAUUUUGCAUUAUUAAAAAGACAAAUGAAUUGAGUUCUCCAAAGAAUCAGCACAAUCAAUUUAAAUAUAAUCAGUAACAUGCAUGUGAAAACCACAUCCCCUGCAGACUGACUGGAAAAUUAGCUAUCUAUGCACUUUAAAUACUUAUAACAGCUUCACUACUUACUGGAGUAGUUUAUGUACCUCUUCUUUAAGGGAUUUAACCACUUGUUGUAUUGCAUAAUUGUGGCAACACGCAAUGUAAGUCUCCUUUCAAUUCAAGUGUAUUGAGAUGCAAGCAUAUAGUGUGUUGAACUAUACUGUGUUGCCCCCAAUAGGAUUAGUUAAAAUGAUGGACAAUGGAUAUCAUAUCCUAUAUAUUAUUAUAAAACAUUAGACAGGAAAAAGUCGUCUUCGGCCUUACUGUAUUUGAAACAUAGUAUUUGGAAUAACAAUGAUUAUUUGCAAUGUUAUAUAGUUCAUAUAGUUCAUUACAUUACAGGUCAUUUAGCUGGUGCUUUUAUCCAAAGCAACAUACAUUACAUUUUUAACCCAUGGCUUUUACAUUUUUGCCCAGGGAGCAAAUAGGGGUUAGGUGUCUUGCUCAGGAACACAUUCUCUACCCCUGCGCUACGUUGACCCUUCAUAUUUGAAAACAUAUUUGAUGACAAAAAACUGAGAAUAGGAUAAAAAUGGGCCUCAAUCAACACCUGUUCUUAAGAAUCAAUUUAUUCUGCAGUAUUUAUGAAGAGUGAGAUAUUCAUGCUGUUUUCAUCAUCAGGAUUUGUUCUGAGGUAAGAAAGAACACUUAUUUCACAUUUCAGCACUGAUAUUUUUUAUUGAAUUCUAGAGUUUUAUAAUCCUUAAAAUAUAUUUACAUUACCAAACAUUUUCAUCAUUUAUGUAAUUAUUUCCAUUGUAGUAGAAACUUAUAGCAAAAACAGUUACACCGAUCAACCACUUUGAUGCUCAUACUUUGUGUAGUGAUCAAGUUGACCAAACAUGAUUACUAACAAAUGUCCAAUAUAUUCUACAAGCAUUAUGGUAUUUAAAGUAAAGUAAAUUGACAGUUAAUUAGUAAUGUCAUGCUAUUUUUUGUUUGAUUCUCGCACUGAUUAAUUAACCCUAAAUAAUUGUUAUUUCAUACAAAAAAGAUUCUCAGAUAUGUUCUUUUUUUUGCACUUUUUUUGCUCUUUUUUUGCGAUUAAAUAGCCGUGCAUACUCAUACCUUUAAUAACAAUAUGCAGGGCAUUUUUGUGUGCACUGGUACACACUUUCAAUGUACAUCAACUAUGUUAAUUCUCAUUAAAAGAUCAUAGCUAAAAAUAAUUCUGUAAUUUUAAGAACACACAAUAAAUCUGAUAAACUUACUUAAGAACAUAAUUAAGAAAAAACAAAGGUAGACUGGCAACUAAAAAGUCAAAAAUCACAUUGCACAGCUGAAACACCAAAUAGGACAAAAAUUAAUCAUGACAAUCAUGGAUAGAAGUAGCCAAACAUCCAACAAGUUUUAAAGUAGGCCUGAUUGCUUCAGUAAAUGGAACCAACAGUCUGUGGUUAGAAUUAAUCAAACGGAGAUUGAUUGGAGGGUCACUCCUGGCAAUUUCACAGGUGAAUACUGUAUGUUAGCAAAGGCCUUCACAUUUAAAUGAAAAUCUUAAAUAACUUCACAUUUGCUAUUUGCCUUUACCGCGGAGCACACAACACAGGAUAUGUCAAAGCAAGCUCAAACAGAGGGAAGGCAAAGGAGCCUGAUUAAAGUUUAUCUUUCAGGGCAAUAAGUCUACUGGCAUUCAUUAUUGCUUGUCAGAUUGUAAACGGUUUCUGGGAACGACAUUAUGCAAGCUCACACACGCAUGUUAAAAGGGAAUGAUUUAGUCAUGCUGUCCAACCACGCUGAAACCCGUUUGUCCCUGGGUAUGUCAAUAAUCCGUUUGACUGGGAAGAACAUCUCACAGGGGGCAAGACAUUAUACACGGACGUCGUCUGCAACAUGUGCAGCACAUCACAUGCUUUCUAAUCUAUUGUAGGGAAAUUAAAUAGUCUCUUCAAAUUGGGAAAGCUUAAUGAAUUAACAACUUGUCCCCAAUUACCUAGAAAUUAGUAUUUUUUGGGAGUUUAUUUCAUGGCAUUAUUUUAUAAGGGAAUUAAUAUUCAAAAUUUUCUACACAGAUCCAUACUAACGAGUGACUCCAAGAUGAUCUAAUCUGUGUAGAUUUGUGUAUUUAGCAAAUUUAUUUUAUUUUUUUUUUUUAUCUAUUGACAGCCCUAAUUCUUUUCUGUGGUCUGUUCUUGCCCAUUCUACAUCAUCUCAAAGUCAACAAAUAAUUUGAAAGCGUCUUUCACGUGUAAUUUUCCCCCUAUUGCAGCAUACAAACAACAUGUGAUAGUAGCUGUAAAAAAAUUAAUUGUUUAAAACCUCCUCCUUUUCCGCUGUUGAACAUUGAUGUGAGUAAGUUUUACCAAAUAAGAGCCAAGAAUCAAAAGGGAAAUAACUUACUUUAUAAAGCAUCUCGAAGGCCCAUCGAAAAUAUGUUAAUAAUUUGUGUUUGCAACAUUUCUAGGACAACCACGGGCAGCAACUACCUAAAAGACUCACACAGCUGGAACACAAGAAAUCUCAUUCGGUCACUGGCAAUGUGCACAAUAACUUCGACACAUUAGAUUUCAAAUAAUAAAUAUUCUUGUGGUGAACAACAUUCGCCGCAAUGCUUCGACCGCUGAGAACACGGUGACAUAAAUUCUUGGAUCCAGCCUGACCGGAACUGUGUGGGUCGGAUUGGACGUCUCGUCUGAUAAAAGACAGCUCCCAGAGUACGGCUGCCCAAUAAAGCCUCACUGUCCCAAGGAAAAUAAUGUUAAAGUUUACCCAACAUUCAGUCACCCUCUCACAUAGAUUUCUGUAAUGUAAUAGUUGUAGCAGCACACACAUCAUAUUUGGGGAAGUGAGUCAUACCUUUCAAAGAGAGUUGUGCUUUGAACUUCUAUUAUGCUACCUGGUGUGCUUCUACCUUACAAGCUUGGGACCAGUCUGCAAUUAGUCUUGCGGACGCAGGAGUUUGAAACCCUGCUGAAGACCCUGGAGCAAGUCAAUAAAACAAACAAACAACAAGUCGGUGGUCGGAUCAUUGCUCACCAGGCUCUAAGUGUAUACAACGUGGUGAACAAAUGGUUUGGUAAACAUUAACAGCCAGAAUGUGAACACAACUGUGUUGUAAAGAGUGACACCUAUUUUCUACUUCUUUAUUUUAGUUGUGCAAUGUGAUAAAAGGAUUUAGACACAACUACAGUUUAUCCAAUGUAAGCUGGAAGGCAAUGUCAUUUAUAGUGCACCAUUGAGGCAUACGACAUUUUCAAAUUACGGGGGAACAUAAAUUUACUAGGUACAAUAAAAGGUCUUGAGAAAACAUUACAAUUGCAUUUGAUAGUUAAUAUAAACAUAAAAGGAAGCCAAUUCAGAAAUCACAUUUUAAAAAGCAAUACAAUUAAAAGUUAAAAGCAGGAAAAUAGUUGCAGAUUCAAAAUAUAUAAAGUCAAAUUUAGUGGAAAAAACUUUUUUGAACCCUUGAAGCUUGUUCCACAGGUGUGAGCAAUACAACUAUAAAACAGCUGCUUCACCUUCACAAACACUCAGUAGACCUGAAGGGUCUGCAUGCUACAUAACAUACAAUAAAUCAGAGAUGUUUUUUAUUUCUUGACACUAUUUAGUGUUUUAUUGACGAGUCAUUUUAAAAUCUAUCCUUUGAAACAAAGUGGUGUUAUGUGGUGAUUCAAAGACAGGUUUAAUGUGCUCCGCUUCUUGCUGUUUGUGAGUAGUACAGUGUUAGGCAGUAGCAUUGUGGAUACGUGGCAGUUGUUGACUGAUGCUAUUUUAACAAGACGUGUAAAUUACACUACUCUAGCCUAUGUUUUUCACAACAUUUCUUUAAUCCUUGCCAUGUUUUUAAAGAGAUGACAUGAUUUAUAUUGUUGUAUGUGGCUGUUCAAAGUUAGUCCAAAACUACACCAAGAUUUCUGGCAUGAUCUUUGUGUCAUAGAUUUCAAGUGUGAACUGACUUCUAAUCUUUCUUCUUUGGUGCCAAAAAACAUUACUUCAGUUUUUUUUUAUGUUCAGUUCAGAAGAUUCUGGCACAUCCACUUAAUGGUUUGAGAAAUGUGCUCAUCCAGUAGAUGAAAGUCACUGUCCACUGGCAUAGAUAUAUGCGGUCAUGCUCUCAGUAUUUCCAGGUGAACUUUGUGGUGUUAUUCUCAUGCUAAAGCACUAGUUCGCAACACAGUAAACAUUCUAGCCAACAAACUCUGUCUGCAGUGUGAUCCAGCCUCUAAUCAACAUCUGAAAGCAAUUGGUGCUUUAGCAAUACAAUUCCAAACUUACACACCCUAACAUCCUUGCCGUUCAAUGUACUCUGCCCCUGCUCGUACAGCUUGCAAUGUUUCACAAAGACAGCAUAGAGAUUUGAAUCGGAUACACUGACUGUCUCCCACAAUAUCUUGUAGAAACACGUGUACACCGCCAGAAUUUAAAUCAGUUCAUAAAUAUGGAACGGUCAAGUUGGAAUUUCCGUAUGGUAAAGCAGCUUGUCACUCAGAACGUCAGCAUCAACUUUUGCCCUUACAAGCCUGAAAUACAAAAUCCAGAAAGUAUGAUAAAUCUGGCUCGCAGCGCUGACAGUUAUUUGGGGCUCCAGAAGAAUGACCUGCUAACUGUGUACUGCAUGUAUAGGGGGUUCUGAUCCACUGCCCCUCAGACAGAAGACAGAGACGCACGCAGACGGGGGAAUUGGGAGGGUCUACAUGCGAAUACAACAAACCAAGCAAGCGUUCAACUGCGUCCCUUGGGCUUGGAGGUUGUCAAUGGGCUUGUUUUCCACCCUUCAGGACUGUGGUUUACUUUUCAAGAUUAGAGGGAAAUAAAAUGGUGCACAUAGAAAAGUUGUAUUUCCGAGUUGAGUUUCAAAAGUGCCCACUGCGAUUUUUCACAGCCUGAUUCAUACUUUUUGGUUCGAGGAAAAAAAAAAUAAGGCAUUGAUGGAAUAUCCUUGAUGUUGACUUCACAAAAGGCAGAUGAUAUUAUCAAAACUCCAUUUUGCCACGUUUUGACUGAGAGGCUGAAGCAAUUAUCAGUUUCUCUAAUAUGUGGAGAUGCUGUUUUAACAAUAUAGUGCAGUGAAACUGCAGUAGUUCCUUCUCUUCGUCUAAUGUAGAUUAUUUUAUUUCUGGGUUAGACCGUCAUAGUAAUUCCUCAUGUCAAUACGAUUACAUUAUGCAGCUGAUCCAAGUUGAUCCAGAAAUCCUAAUCCCAAAGCCAAAGAAUGCCCGAUUUCUAACACCGCCAAUCUUCUUAGAAGUAGUCUAGCCUCUCCGGGGCUGUAACGGGCUGUGGCUGCCUUGUGGGAAAGCCAGUGCCUUGCUUGUUCUGGGCCUGGCGGGGGAGGGGGGUCAAAUCAUGUUCUGCUAUUACGUAUUCUACACCCAUCCGAUCUGCAGCCCAAUAAUUAGACUCAUUCCACACCCUGCGAACUCGCUGUGACCUGUUUUUGCAAAGGAAAUCAAGGCUGUAGGUUGUUCUUGGGAUACAUCCAAUCCAAUUGAGUGGAUGAGAAGUGACAGAGGCAUAAAAGCCCAGAGAGCGAUGCUGCAGAUUCAGAACACGUAAUUAGCCCUGUCCCAGGAGGACGUGUGUUGAGUCUGCUUAUUCCAGACCAUACAUUAGCAAUGACAUCCGAAAAGGUCAACAUGCCUUUACAGAAUGGGGGAAACAUAUGAAAUUAUCAGUACAUAUUGGUAAAACAUGAUUCUCUUAGUCUCAUAAAGGAGUUAGUUUUGAUGUUUUUAUGUAGGAUUUUGUUAAAUGUAAGGUAUUUUUUUGCUCUCCUCUGUGAAGCAGAGAAGAGUGUCCAGACUUACAAUGAAGAUGAAGAGCAUGACAAAUUGAUUAACUGAGUGAAAUUAAAUCAUUGCUACAGGUUUGUCAGCAAGCUUACCUCAGAGAUAUGGCUCAUUCUAAAAGCAAUCAAACCUUAAUUGUUCCACUCCACAAACACAUAAUAAAAAAAUAAAAGAUUAUCAUGGCGGCAACAGUCAUUAUGUUUUCAUACACUUUCUCUCAUAAAACAAUUUACUUAAUUAAAAAGACUAUGUUUAAAAUAAAUUAAACGUAUCCCCCCGUUUGUUUAUGUUACAUGUAUUAACCAAUGUUGGUCCAUUUGAAAUUGGCUAAACCGGCCUAUAAUUUGAUUGGUGUCUCAGAGCUCGCUUUGCUAUUCGUAUUCUGUUUAACCUGUUGUACUGUGAUCAGAAGGCUGUGUCCUUCCCACAGCUGAGGCUUUGGCCGAGCCAGGGAAGCAUCUCUCAGUUGGAGAUUAUGCUUUACCCUUGAGUGGAAUUUCUUCACUGGAGGGAUUCAAAGACGGGGCUUGAGGGACACAGAUUUCCAUCUCCUUUCCUGCUUUCCUCUGCCCCUUUUUCUCCCGCUUUCUCAAUUUUUGUCCCUGUUCUCCUAAUAUUGAAUGCAAAAAUGUGGAGCUUACUUGUUCAACUUAUACUGUGAAUACGUUUUAAAUCAUCAUUAAUCAUGCACAGUACUAGCUUAUUAUAAAACAGAACAUGAUUGAAUUUAACUGUAUACAAUAUUCAGCCUAAAUCAAAGACCUCUAAAUGUGUGAGCGGGUCAAUCUCAUUGAGAGAUCUGGGCUCUCCGCCAAUUCACAGCAGGAAAACAUCUGCUUUGUUGUGAAUAAAGGUGUGAGUGAAAGCCAGGAUAUCAAAAAGCAAGAUAGGCUUCAGCACUUGAAAAUAAGCUCCCUCAAACUCCCGGCAAGCUCAAAACUGCCACGAUAUUUCAGUAAAGCCAUACUGUACUAUAAAGCUUGCCCCCCCUCCUCGCUUGUUCUCAUCACAUACUGGCGUUUGUCGAGUUUGUGACUUGUGUUGACGCUAAUGCUAAUCCAGAGCGUCAAACAAAUUCAACUUACUGUCCACUGUACAGAAGAAGAACUGAGAAUAUUAUCUUCGACACAAACGGAGGUGCAACGGUGUUCAGCAGUGUGAGCCCCGUUUAAAUAUUCAGUUCCUUUCCUGCACAUGGGGCGGCUUUGAUGUUUAUGUGGAGAUUUCAUGUCAUAAGCAGGGUACUAGAGAACGGGUUGGUUGUAGGUAGAGCAUCAUAAUAAGCAGCAUUAGUAAUGAGCAUCUUGCUGGCAGUUUAAAACACUGUGUAAACAACAUUUUUCUGACAAGCAAAGAUAUCCAACACACGCAUACUUCAGAUAAUUUGGGCUUCACGCAGCAGAUAUUUGGAGAUACAAGAUUUACAGACAUACAUAGAAAAAUGCAACAGCCACGUGCACACUCUCACAAGACACCAGCUCGCUUCUGAAGUCUUUUUUUACUGUACAUCAAUCUGUAAAAUCCCCCAAAAAGGCCAUCUCACCAAGCAAAGGCGAUGAAUAAAUGAGUGUGUCUGACAGAGCAGUCAUAGUCGAGAUCAAAGGAGAAGGAGAUAAUUAACAGCGGACUAAUUAGUAACCACCCCGAGUUUUCAUCAGAUACAGUAUAAAAAGAAGACUGCAGCUUUGCUGGCUAUUAGUUGUAGGAAAAUGUGAAUUAAAUAUGUUCGGUUUAGGCAUUUGCAGUGCAGUGUGAUUUUGUCGAGCCAUCUACCAGUGAAAAGUAUCAGCAAUUAGGACAAAUACAAAUGUUCAACUAAACAUGCCCCAAUGAAAGCCCUCAGAAGUCUCAAAUCUAAAUAAAUGUGACAUUUUUCCUUUUAUAUUGAUCAAGAUAUAGUGCAUGUCAUUGUGAACAGGCUUUCACACGGAUUGAGACAAUGGAAACCCUGCGCUCUGAGACCCAUUAUUUCCGAUGACUUGGUUGACACCACAAAGACUUUUCUUAGCUUUGAGCACAAUGUGCGCCCGGCUCAGCGCACACUGCACCCCCCUAACAUAACAACGUGGCUGUGUGAUCAGCGGUGAACCGUCUACAUUAAGGUUUUAUUUUUUUGAGAAAUGUUGGCAUGGCCAGAUACACGAUUGUUUGUGGGUGUCUGUGGGUGUUUGUACUCAUCCGUCAUCGUAUUCAGACUCUAUGUGCCUUGUAUGUGCUGAGCUGUGUCAGUCAUUCCAAUCAACAUGAAUAUUUAAUGACAAAUUAGUUGAUUGGCAUGUCAUUGGCUCACAGUGCAGAAUUAGAGUUAUACAUUGUACCACCUUCAAUGUGUGUAGACGCUUUUACUGUAUAUGUGUGCUCUGUCUGACAGUCAUAACACAGUACCAAAACUGUAAACAGAAUGGCAGAAAAAUCAAUAAUGGACUUGACCCAUGAGACAUUUUAGGAGUGUGAUGGUACUUUUGACAGCGUGAAAGUAUAUUGAGGAAGUUCUCUUUUACAUCCAAAUGUGAGGGAGACUCAGCCCUAGAUGAAAGAUUGAGUAGGCCUGUAGAAUUAAAGAGUCAACACAGGCCUAAUAAACCGCAUAAAUCAAUUUUUCCAUUUUAUCCGGCAACAAGUACAGAAAUACAGCCUGGGGGAAGCAGACCAACAGUCUCAGGUGUGACAUUAAAAGCAAUAUUUAUAAGGCUGAAAAUCCCUCAUGCAGCUAUGAAAUAUGGCAUUAUUAGCGUCUUGCAGCGGCAUUAUGCCCUGUGGUACUACUGUGAAGCAAUACUCAGCAAAUAAAAAGCUUAUAUUCUAAACCCCUCUUAAUCUAUUACCUCAAUCAGGAGAGACAAGUGAAUGGAGUAAAGAUAAUUGUUUAUUAUGACAGAUGAUAUGUGAUAAUAAAGUCUUUGGAGCAUAGAAUCUAAAGGGGGAUUUGCAAACGAUGGCCGUCUGCGCUGAGCACCAGCGAGAUGAAUCCAGCAUGGAGACCAGGGACUGGUGAUGGAGGGACUGGUGAUGGUGUUGGCUGGUGAUUCCGCUGAGCCUGGUCAGUGAAGGGGACGGGCGCCCGUUACAUCAACAUGAAUGUUUGAAAGUUUGAGAACAAAUACUUUUUUUAAAAGCCACCAUCAAGAUGCUAAUAAUGCUAUAGGAUAGCUGUAACCAGCUGAGAACAGCUGGUGUCUCGACUGACAGCUGCGGAGAAUGACAGCGAGGAAAUUAUGAGUAAGCACGAGUGGAAGGAUUUAAUCGCAGGAUAUAUGAGAAAUAAACUACAAGCCUGAGGAUGCAGAAAAAAACCAUUUUUGUCUAGAGCUUGAUUACAUUUAAGGGAAAAAUCCUCUUCUUUAAGACACAUGUCUUGAAGAAUACAACUCACAUUGACAUGCGCCACGUAAUAAAAGUCUCUGUCCAUAAGUCCGGCAGUGCUGGACGAUUUUACUGUGUAAGGAGGUGUAGGAUUUAGCACAAAUGCAGAGAUCAACGGUGGAGGAGGAAGCAGGAAGAGGUAAAUAAUGUAUUGACUAAAUAACUAUUCCAAACAUACCAAGGAGUCUGGCAGGCACAAAAAACAUCCAUUACAAUCCAUGGAAUGUACCAUUUUUUAUUCAAACAAUUGGUUUAUGGAUUGCCUUUUUCAAGCCUCGCGUUUGGCCUUUAAGCUGUUGUUCUUUUAGUCUUUGGCCAUUGGAAAGUUUCUUUUUGAAAAGAAGUGACAUAAAAUGGCGAAGACUAGUUCAACCAAACGCUGAAUAAGAUAUUUUUAAGCGACUAAUACGUCAUAGUUAACUGCUAUGAAGUGAAAAUCCUCUGUGAAAUCUGCCGUUGCAAAGUAGCCAGGAUAGAAGUCAACUGUGGUUUAUUGUUUAUUUUUAUCUAAGUGAACCAUCAUUUACUACAAGAACAUUGUGAUGCAUCAAAAACAACGUAAAACUCACCAUUCAUACCAUAAACCCAUGUUUACAAUAUUAACUGGGAUAAUAAAGUAGUUGGGUCCCUUUCUCAUAGUCUUAUACAUAAUUGGGUCGCUCCCUGAUGACUAUCGAAAAGAACAGGAGUCAUUUCCUCAUUGACAGAGUUUGCUGACUACAGUAAAAAAAAAACAGUGAAAAACAAGUGAGGGGGAAUGAACAACCAUAAGAGAUUAUACUUUAUUAAAUGAAUACAUGAUGUCUUUGAUUGCUCAUCAAUAAACAUUUUGGAAGAAUAAAAAGAAACAACCAAAAGACAAAGACAGGUAAUCAGGAAAACCAGAAAUAAAUUAAUUAUUAAUUUAUUCAACACUAAUGACCAACACAUCCUACUACAGGGACUAGAACAUUUGAUUGGCAUCAAAGGAACUACCCUAACUGGUGAAAGUCUAAACAAUGAUUCCUUAAUGCAGUGGUCCCCAACUUUUUUUACCUCACGGACCGGUUUCAUGUCAGGAAAUAUUUCGCGAGAAGGUCCGACGGGGGGUGGCGGAACGAUCGAUGGGGGGGGAUAAGCUUUCUGUGGUGGCCCGGUGGUUGGGGACCACUGCCUUAAUGCAAUCAAAGUUUACCUUUAUUACUCCUGUAUUAGCUUCUUUGCACUGGCUCCCAGUAAUCAUCAUCAUUAUUAUUAUUAAUAGUCACGUCACCAUUACCAUUAUUUAAUUAAAUCCCCAGCUGCAUUUAUUGUGAGGAUAAAAGAAGCCUCCUGUUGCAGUUUUUGGGGGGAGGAGUUUCUGUAACAAUAUGAGACUCCUGGGACAGAGAAUGUUGUGUGUGUACAGAUUGUAAAGCCCUCAGGGUAAUAUCAGUUCUUUGUGAUUGUGGGCUAUGCAAAACAGACUGAAUUGAAUUGGAUAAACAACACCCUCGGAAGAAGGCUGGAGCGGUGGGCAAGAGGAGACCAAAUGGGUUUGUGCUGGUGGUGAAAGGCCGGCAGCGCAAGUGAGAGCUGAUGAGAAGUAGUGAGGGGACUGCAGGGCUAAUGCCAACAACUGAAACUAAUCAACGUGGGGCAGACAAUCAGAACUGAUUGGGAAAACACAAAGACAGGAAGUGGGAGGGUCUGAAACAACGUGGUAGACAAAAUAAACACAAAACACGAUUGCUAUCAAUAAAUGGGACUUUGAUAAGAUGCAAAUUUAAAGGAAUGUAAUGGUGAUGUGAUUGUUGCAUUAAUAUCACUGAGAAGCAUGCAUUUAAUUGGGUGAAUAUACUGAUGCAAACUUAGAUACGUUGUUUGUACACUAAUGUACACAGUUUUACACUGAAGCACCAGGAAGACUAGAUAUAAACAUUACAAAGGACAUUUGGCAGUCGCCCAGCGGGAUCAUAUUUAAAUGAAUUCUAUCAAAGGAGAAGCAGAUUUUCUGUUGAAAAGAUUUUGGUUCCCAGUUGGGCUGUAGUUAUCUUCCCGUGAUUGAUUGAUCCGUUUUUUAAUAUUGAAAAUUUUGAAAGAAUAUUUUGUACAACCACAUUUCAAUGUCAACUGAGCCAUCCCAGAAUAUGCCUAGUCGCAUUAGACAUCUGUCAUUUUGCAUAUCAGUUGCACUCAGUGGCCCCGUCCCCAGAAAAAUAGUACCAUUGGUUCAACACAUAGCAAACAAUAAUUAGACUUUAUUUCAGGAUUUUGGGAAAAUGUGCAUGGAUUUUUCAUUACCACAAGCACAAAGAAUGAAGUACUGAGAUUAGAUAGGAUAAUGAAAUGGAAGAUAUUAUACAACCAAUAUGAACAUUUUGAUUAGGUUAUGUUUAGUACAAAGGCAUCUUUACAAAUAUAUAAAGUAAAAUGAGUUGCCCCUUUUGGCCAUUGAUAAAGUCCCUAUUGCAGUGAUCAUGUAGGAGAAGAAGAUUCAUUUUAACCCAAAAAAUGAUCCUUGGUUUAAGCAAUGAACAUAAAACAGUUUGCUAAAAUAUCUUGUGGUAGAGCACAUGUUUUGUAGUGAUUAAUUUCAGUGUGGAUACCUAUACUGGUAGUAUUUCCGAUUCUGUGCAAAGGCACCAACAUCAAGCAAAUGUAUUUGUUGUUUGUCUUGUUUACAUAUGAAGGUCAAAUAGAAGCACUUCAAAGCCAGUAAAAAAAGGUUCCUUCCAUUGACUUAAAAAAAGGAACUAUUAAAUUGCAUUUAAAUUGCUUCAUUCUCCCCCCUAUUGCAUCUGUAGAUGAGUAGACACAAAUCUAUUUCAUAAGGUAAUGUUUGUUUAUGCGGCACGUACAGGACAACUGCAGCUUGUAAACAAAUCAUAGCUGUGUUCUUUGAAAUACCUUCACUUUCAGAACAGUUGCUUGCAAGCCAACGGUGUAAUAAGUCCCCCGGGAAUGCUCCUUUGUCCAAUUGCGGUUCUAAAAAUGUUUGAAAAAAUAGAAUUAGCGAUGUGAUUUUCCAGUUGGAAGCAAAAACCAGAGUGGUUGUACUUGACAGUGAGUUAUUUAGUUGCAGGUCAACACAAACACAGUAUUACACGCUUACAACCCCCACCGGGAGCUCCGGGUCUAAAAAUGAAAGAACAACACACAUUUAAAUCUCAGAGGGACGCAGAUGUCUCCAGUCUUUCUUGAACUGGUCUGUUUACAUCUUCCCCUGAAGUGGCGCAAGUCAUUCUUUUGUGUAUUUCAUUGUGUGUUGGCAAUAUUGUAUGGCAUGCAAGCUCUGAUCCCUGCGCUCCCUAAGGCAAGGUUCGGAUAGGGCCUCGGGGACCUUGUGAACCAGUACAAAAACACCUGCUUGUUUUCAACGCUCCAUAUUAAAUUCCCCUUCGCUGGUACACCCACAGAGACAGUCAUGAAAGUGAAAUAAAAGCCAGGGAGAGAUUCGGGGCGGUGGUUAGGACAGGAUGCUAGCAAGUUCCAGCAGGGUCACCGAUACAGUUCUCACUGAAAAGAACACGUACAAUGAAAACACGUAGAUAUGUUCUCAUCAAGUACUGUAGCUAAAAGUGGUCCAAUAAUGUGAUGGAGGGAAGAGUAAAAUACCAUCAUAGAACCAAUAUUAUGGGAAAAGCUAAACAUUUAGUAAAAUAUUUUCUAAAGGGGACAAACCUAACGGUGUAUCUUGUUGGUUUACUUCAGGCACAAACAGAAUGUAUGCGCUCCAGGAGGAGUUAAAUCUAACUAGCCUAUUUCUGGAAGAGCACCUGCCGACCACUGUGACGGCAGAGGACUGCACCUACGCCCGACUAUGCCAGAGAGGCUGUAUCUUAGUGUUAGCUGGAUUGACACUGAGGGUUACUUCGCCUUAACCACGAACGACACAUUGUAUGCGUUUCAUUGCAUUUUCUCCGUGUUCAAUUCAAACAAAGAUAUACAGUUAGUGAGCUUGAGAGUAGGAAGACUUUUCUUUUACUUUGAGCAAGGCUACCUGUUUCCCGCUUCUUAGAGUCGAAAAUAAGGUAAAUAAAGCAGUUGUCCACUGUCCUGGUCAUUAAACACGUCUGUUUGGCUGCUUCUCCAAAUAUCCGUUGUGAUAUUCUCUUUCUCUGGCACGCUCCACAUACAGCAAUUCUUCAUUUGAUAUGAAUGCAGAUAUUGAAAGCAGCAAAUAAUGUGGCGUAGGCCUACAUAGAUAUUUCUACAGUGAUUCUUUGAGAAUCCCCAAAUAAGAAUUCCAAUUCACAUCCCCACAGCAGUGCUGAGCAUAGAGACACUUUUUUAUGUUAUGUUUUUUUUUUAAACCAUAUUUUUUUUUCAUAUAUGAAACAACAUAACACCUACUAUGCUAUGAGCAAACAUGGCACAAAAACGGUGAAGAAGUGGUGUGAUGCCAGAACCACCCUACGUCUCCUGUCACUGCUGAGAAAAAACAUAAUUUACAGUUAUAAUUUUAAUUGCCGGCCUAUUGGGUUGGUCCUGCAAGUGAACAUCACAUCUCACAAAAAGCCUCUGAUUCUAAAGAAGCUCAUUUGCACAAAGAAACAAUAAACAAACAUUUUUAGGUUUAAAUGUUUCAAAUGUAUUUUAAAUGUAGUGAUUGGAUUUUGGAUUUGUUGCUUGGUGUUCAUCAUUAAAUGUUAGAAGCUCUGUUGGAUUUAAGCCACAGAUUUACGAUGAAAAAAAACUUUACUGAAGCACGUAUGCACUAUCACGAGUGGAAAGAUAAAACCCUUGGUGUAUUUCGGCCAACACCAAACAAACAUCAAAUCAAUCAUCCAAUCAGGCAGAACAAUAUUUGCCUAAAAAUUGAGCAGAUAGCUGGAGGCCACUUUCUCUGUAAAUUACAAACUGAGACAACACAACUGAGACUUGUGAAAUUGUUGCUGCUCAGUAUGAUGGCUAUGUCUAAAGAUAUAAUAAACUUGGAUUUUCUGUUUAAGUAAGAAGGUGUCAAAUAAUUCUUAUUCAUCUUAUAAUUGGUUUUGUCUCCAGUUUGAUCUCCAACCCACAGCUGGUAGGUUUGUUUCCACGGCGUUCUGUAAUGCUUGCUCUCAUGGCAUGGUUUCUCUUUAAGUUGCCUGCCAUGGCUGCAACUGUUGUUGAAUUAUUCCGCGUUCAGCUUGAUAUGAUAUUACAUCUGGUUUUCAAUUAAUGAAAGUGAAGCUGUGUGACUCCCGUCAUGACGACCAUUAAGUGCGUGCGAGGCAGACAGCUGCGGUAGUGCUACUUUUAUAAUCAGCUGAAUAUUCAUAAAUAUCUUCUUUUUUUUUUUGGUACUGUUCCAAUUUAAAAUAUUUGUUACCAGCCCUGUCAGCCUGUUGAAAUAUUUUGUGCAAUUGCACUGCCGCCAAUCAACAGGAGCGGACGGGAUUUUUCAAUAUCUUAAAAUUAUCUAGAAUAUCAAGAAGAGAAGGCUACUUUAGACAAGCAAAACACGCAGGUUGUAAAAAAGAACAUGAAAUAGUUAAAUGCGCACCAGAGAUGUUGGUUUGAACAGCGCAAUGGAACAUGCCAAUGUUCACAGAUUGAGGACAAACAAUCCACCAAGGCAUUGUUGUCAACAAAACGACAGCAGAAGCUUUAUAUUUUCAAACGCUGGUGCCAUAGUGAGGACAGGACAGAAUAUGGAAUUUAGCACAAUAAUAUAGAUUGGUUAGUAACAAGGUUAGGAGCUGAUAGGAUUUAGGGAGAACCUUGUGCUGCAUUUCUGUGCUCGGGUGACUGGAGUAUCAAGCCCUGGUUAAGAAUAAUGGUUUCCCUUCAGCAGGAUGGGAAAUUGGAUUGCUCAUACAAAGUGCUUGCUGAGGAUAAACCUUUGUUAUCCAAUUAUCCGUCUAAACUACAUUAAGAAAAACAAAAAAAAAGAAGAGGAAAAGGUGUGUGGCACAUUGUUACCCUGGACUCGAAAUAAUAAUAAGCAAAUAGAAAGCAAAGACUCAGGCUUGUGCAUCAAUGUCAUAGUGUCCUUAUAUGGAUAGUGGAAAAUGAUGCUGUGCAGUGUGCAUUUAUUUACCUUUCCCAAUAAACAAUGUGACAGUCGAGGAGCAAUGUCAUCCUCCCUGCAUGCCAUAACCAAUGCAGAUCGCACCGUCAACCAACAGAGGGCAAUAGUUUAUUGCAAAAUGCUUUUCACACCACAGCACAGAUUUAUUAAUUAAUAUCUCUUUAAAUUUCACUUUGAUAAUGGUUCUUUGCUGCAGCUUUUGAGUAGUGUUACACUGCUGACAAGAGAUAAAUGCAGCAGUAUAAAAACUUCCUUUAAACAAUCUACUUCACACCUCAUAUCAAAUGCUUUAAACAUGGAAACAGGCAUUAUUUCUGACCCGUGUGACAUUUGGGGAUGUGAUUUUAAUAACGGACUGUUCAAAAGAAGCAUUUUAUGGGCUGUGAAGAUGCUUAUAUACAUUUGCUAUGUUUCAAAGUGAUCAAAUCUCUUCUUUUACAACAAUGAUCUUUAAGGCAAAGCUACAAUGUACAUUGCAAGGAAGUUUUGAGUUGCUUUUGCAGAUAAUUUAGGAGAGGAAUUUCCAUUUCCUAAUGAGAGUGAUUCUCAAUAGGAAACACGAAAGCCUUUCUACUUCUAAAAGAGUCAGUCAGCAUACAUUUGCAUAAAAUAAGCCUUUGAUUAAGAUAGAUAUUGCCUGCAGUCUCAAAACCAUUGGCCUGGGGUGGCUCUUCAGUCAGUUAGCCUCAAGUCAUGGCUGAUAUUGUUCUCUGAUAUUCAAAAUUAUGCACCAUGUUGCUUGUCUUGGUAACGAGGUAGUUACUCGCCUUACUCAUGUUCGAAUUAUUGAAGAUUACAUGCAAAUCAGAUAAUGAUAAAAACACACGAUGAUAAAACUCUCUGUUGAGUUGUUGAGCAUUUUCUUUCUACUACAUGGGAGCGAUAAGAGAUGCAGUGAGUUCAUAGAGACAGUGUUAUUGUUGGUGGGAUAUAUAAAACACCCAGCAUGUGAUUCAGCUUCCAGACGGACUGACUAAGUAAAAGAUUAAAAGUGAAACUUCUAAACUGGGAAAUAAGAUUAAAAAAAACACUGGAGUUUGAAAAAGAGGGGAGGACCAAUGAAUUAGUUAUCAACCAUUAUCAACAGUCGGCCGACUUCAUGCCUCUUAAAAUGCAAAGAAGAUGAAAUCGUGGGGGUGGGCGGGGUGUUGGAGGCUGUGAAGCUGCCUCCAACAACCCAGGAAGAGGACGAAGGGUGUGGUUUCAAGGAAAUAAAAGACAAUAAGUUCAAAUGGGGAAAGGAAAACCUAGGGGUGGCCCAGCACCAAGAUGUAUUUUUUUCCUACUUCGUUCCUCGUUGACAGUACCGUGUUCCUCCCUCUUUAUAAUAGAUUGUUUCUUAAAUACAUUAAUCAGUGUGUCAGAUGCUGUGAAUACACAUUUAUUAAACAUAGGGGGGGCUUGGUUUCUGGGGAGCCCAGGCCUGGCCCUACCUAGGCCUCUGCCCCCCCCCCCGUAGUAGUGCAAAGUGUUGGCAAAAAGGCUCAGCCUGCACGAGGAGCACCCUGUGUCAAGUAUGAUCGAGUGGAGAAAGGCAGCAGCGCUGAGAAGAGCUCUCUUCGAAGGGCGCGGCAGUAAUGACCUGUCCUCACUGUGUGGACUGUGUGGCCUCCGGUGGUGCCAAACCCCGCCAUUACAAUGCGGCUUUCAGAUUAGGCCCGCGAGUGCCACAGUGGGGUGGAGGGGAUCACAGGCUCUGGGACGUUCUUGUCACACCAGAGCACCACAGUCGUAUCGGGCCUCUGACAGGUCUGGUGGAGGCGGAGGACAUCGACGGGAGUCCAAUCGCCCGUUGGCCCCUUGACACCCACCACCAUGUAGACGCGUGAUUCCCUGCAGCAGCGGGAUGAUUAUCUGCAUGACAGAGCCUGGUGCAUUUGCAGCCAGUGACUGUGAUAGUCCCUGGCAGCAAGCAUUUUUUAGUUCACUGUCUCAUGCUCUUGUUAAUUUCAUGACAGGGAGCUUCGCACAGCUGCAGGACAGGGUGUGUGGAUGCAUUUCAUCAAUUAUAUCACUUAAUUAAAACAAUCCAUAGGACAGAUGUAAUGAAAAAAGAAAAGGAUCACACAGAAAUCUACCAGACUACGGAAAGGUUAUUUUAAUUGAAUGUUUCCCUCUCAGUUGUUGCUUUAUCUUGGUGGAAAGAGACUGCGCACUGUAUUCUGGAGGCUGUAUCAUUCAAGUCUCGACAAACAUGAGAUGAGCCCUCCAGUGCAUGACAUCUUGGAAGCAUGAGCAUACAAUGUAACGACACAUCUGCUGUGAGCAGAAUUUUAUAGUAUAAAAGGGUUUUCAUACUGGGGGACACUCCGGGAGAAAGCUGAACUAUGUUGAUUUUUUCAGUUAUUCAGCAUUCUUUGAUGAAGUACAGAAAAGUGGGAAUGGAUAACGUUUGGUUCUAGUUUACAAUGGCCAUAUUCAUCUGAUAUUCCGUGAUAAGAGAGAAUUCAUAGCAGCGGAUCAUCAGAAAUAGAAUAAAAGACAUGUUCUGCAGUUAUUCUGUCGGAAUAAAUCAUAGCAAUUAAAUAAUAGAUUGUUGAAUUUGAAAGGAAUUGGGUUCACUGUGGGGAAGCAUCUCUGUGAUUACAAAGAGAUCAAAUCUUUCUUUACAUGUAAUGGGAAAUGUUGUCACUUUGCCCAGGCUACAAAUCCUUGACAGGUCAUUGCUGGAAAAUUCAUUUUCCCUUGUCCCAAUUAGAGGUUUAUGGAUCUCAAAGCACACUGUGAUGUGACAUGGCAUACUAUGAGCUCAGAGGCAAGGCCCCAUGCCGCACAACACUGUGGAUAUGAGCAAAGCAUCAGCUUCUGAUUAUCCUCUCUGGUAUUGCCUUGAGACGAUCUGCACUUCUUCUGAGAAGUUCUCUGGCUAUGCAGAUGUUUCAAUGCUCGCGAAGCCUGCGGUGAUGGUGUGAAAAGAGGACUGAUCUGCCACCAGGGAUGGAGCAUGUUUUUUUCUCAACUAUACUUUGUCAAGCGUAAUUUUUGAAUCUCCAGCACAGUGAAAGGCCUAGCCCUUUAAACUCAGAUGCAAAUUCAGGACCCGGGGAAUAAACAUGAGCUGCAUCACUUCCAUCAGCACUAGGUUUAUCUUUUAAAUCUACUCACAUGCAACAUUUGUUUCCAUGUUACAUGUGCUGCAUGGAGCAGAAUGCCAGCAUGGUAGACCAUAGAGAUAUAUUGCCAAUUUGUUAAACCAUGAUUACAUAUACCAAAUACAAAUGGUGAUUAGUGCUGAGCUGCUUAAAUGUUAUCAACAUGUAUGUGAGAACAUGUAAUUUGUGUUGCUUCAUGCCUGUGUGUUUGAGUGUAACGAAGCACUAGAACUGAAUCAUAUGUCCAAUAUGACAGGAAACACUCAACGGCUAUUACUGUCAGAGACAAAGAUCAAGUUUUAUGAGUUGAGCCUGUCCUGAUUAGGGCAGCAAAUUUAGCUGUUGGAUUAUUUAACUUUAUAGAUUCUUUGAAAAGAAUCCUAAAAUUUGAUUUACUAAUUUUCUAAAACCUAAUGAUUCCUCUUUUCAAUUCCACAUGAAUGCUUGUUUAAUUUUCUUUCUGCAUUAUCCACAAUAUAUAUAUUUAAACAUUAUACUUUUUAGAGACCUUAAAAAGUAUAAUGUUUAAAUAUAUCCCUAUGCAUGUUCAAAAGCCAAAUCAUAGAAAUGUGAUUAAACAAUGGCCACCAGUGACAGCGGUUUAUCGUGCAUAAUCAAGUAUUGCUGAAAAAAAAAUGAUUCGGGGCCUGCAUCUCUGACAACAUAAAUAUGAUUUUGGUUGACUGAAGGGAACAGUGUAAAAUGGCAGGCAUUUCAAAGUAAACGCUAUUGUGUAAGAUGCUUCUGCAGUGAAUGCCAUGGAGACCAUUUUGCAGGUUGUCAGCGCUUUCUUCUGUUUCUAUCUCAGCAAUGAUUUGACAUAACAUAGAUACGUUGCAGUCGAUUCUGAAUCACGUUCUUAUCAAAAGGGUCUGAUAUACACCACUGCAUAAUACUUCUGUAUCAAGACUAAAUCCAAGUCCAGAAGGCUUAAUAUGUUUUAUUUCCAGCAUUGUCUCUGUGGGCAUUUCAAACAUAUUCAACAUUCCUGAUAAUACAGAUUUUCUUUCACAUAGUUACAUUUUAACUGUGUAUUCAGUCAAAAUAAACUCAAUUCAAAUUAAAUAACAAUUUAGAUCUAAACCAGACUGCUGUAUAUACUGUGUUCAAUGUAUGCAAACAUUUGACAGAAAAUCAUUGCAGUCAAUUUCAUCAAGCACAUUUAGCCUGUUGUCAAUAAUAACGUGGCAAUAUAUUCAAUGGUUUGCUGUUUUGGGAAAACAAACCAUGCUGAUCAAAUAAAAGUCUUAGAAAUAUAUUUACUUCAUUCUUUUCGGGAGGGAUGGAGCACGAUAGUAGGAGAGUGAAGGGCGACGAUUGUAAAUUCAGGACAGUUACGGCUUGAUACCAUCAUCAGAGGCAAUGGAGGUAUAAAUGGUCCCAAUAAAGGUUAGAGGUUUUUUUUACGGGGGUGUCUAUGGCAACCAAUUGGUACGAGACCAAAUCGUCUCAUCUAUACUGUAGAGCUACUAUAUACACUUCAUAGCAUGGGGUGUCUUCACAUUCACAGCUGUAAAUAUUACAUUUUUCUGUAGCUUUUGAUACUAUCACGCUUUACUUUGCGUCACCUUGAGCCCCCAAAGUGCAUUUCACAUCCUGGCGUGUCAGUUUACUAACACUUUCUUGAUACAUUGUUUGGGGAACUCUGUUGAAGGAUCUAGAACUAGUUAUAUGGAAAAUGUGGCACAAUUACUAAUAUUCUUCCCAGGGCUUUAAGAGAUAACAGACAUUAAAGGUUGAGGAACACUUAGAACAAGCGGAGGAUUAUGUGGUGGGGGAAAAUUACUUACCUGAAAAAAACUGCCAAACUGUCUCUCACAGUAAGCUCUGGUGAUUUUCUAAAGCAUAUUAUGAAGUGUUUCAUGUAAUUAGUUGAGUUGUAUUAUUGUGAGAUGCAUACAUAAUAUAACCUGCUAAACAACCUCACAAGACAUCAUCAUUUAGACUCCAGAAUAGCAGCAUCAAUUACAAAUGAUACUAAACAAACAAAUGAACCAGCUCAACGUUUGGUCCAAGCUUAGUGCAUGUCUGGAAUGUUAACACGCAUUUAAUUUAAUUGUCAUACUCUUAAUAUAUCACGAUGAAGACAAUACAGGAGCUCUCAUGAUUCAUUGACAAGAUCUCAUUACUUGCACAAUUCACAAACCUUGUUUUUUUCAAAAUACAAAUAAUUACUUCUGUUGUUUUAUCAGUAUGUACACAUCAGCAUUGACUGUAAUGGGGAAACAUUGCAAUCAAAUUGGAAAUGUAUCAAAUAAUAUCAUUGAUUUCCGCCCAAAAAUGUAAUAAACGUACAAAAAAAAUUAGUCAUUGUAACCAAUAGCAAACAAUGUCUUCCCAUGCUUCCAUUAGCGUGGCUUUAGGCGCAUCUUUCUGUGAAACUCACAAUUUAAACUAAUAACAUGAAAAAGCACUUACAAAUGUACAAGGCAUUUUUCGCUGUUAGUGACUAGCCUGUUUUUUGUCAUCUGCUCCAAAAAUGGCACACCCAUGAUAAAAAGUGUAAGAAGUGUGUCUAUUUGGAAAAUGUAUUUUCUGUAAGAUAAAGAGGAACCCCUGUGAGUGCUGAUGUGUAAAAAUCAGUGUACAUGCUACUGGUGGAGAAAUACUGUAUAUCAAUAUUGCACACAAAAAAACUCAACUCAAAAAAUGUCACAAACAGCCCUAUAAAUCCUAUAAAACUAAAUUAACUAAAAAAAGUAUUAGGCUAGAAUCAUAUCCACGUGAUAGGCCUGUGUUUGGAGAGUACAAAUGUAAAGUUGAUAGAGCAAGUAUAAACUUCUCUGGAGAAGGCUUUUGUGAAGGCCUCAUGCCAAACGAACGGCUGGCAAAGAUUCCAAAUUCUUUUGGAGCUCCCAGUGAUCGAUCCGUGUCAUUUACCCACUCUGCUCAAUCGUCUAAUCAGCCUGAAUACAACGAAAGUGACGCGCAAAUGAUCAACAGCUUCCCUAGGCACUCAGACGAUACAGAGACAGACCAGGAAGUAAAAUGGUGGGUAGCCGUAUCUCAUUAAAGCCAUAAUUUACGUGAAAACCGACAAAGGUAAGACAUAUUUAUAAUUUUACCACUUCGAUGGUUUGGUUUGGCAUGAUUUGUCUGAGAGAAAUAAUACAGAUAAUGUUCUCAUGCUGUUUGAUGUUUUUUGCCCUGAUAACAUUUCUUUUUGACAGACAAAGUUAUACACCACCGUACGCAUACUUUUUGGACUCAUUUGCAUAGUUUAUUUGUUUUACAAAUAUUACACUGGCUAAAGUUGUUUGGAGUAUUUUCAUGCGGAUUGUGGCUUAUGGAAGCCAGGACUCUAAUGCUUCAAAAAAUGUGUUUGACUAUUCUUAAAACCACUGAACACAGUAAAUGUUGCAGCUUUCUCCUCAAGAACAGGUUUAUUUAAGCAUUCAUGUCUGUGUUCAUGAUGAGUGCCCAAAAUGUUGGUUCUGGCUUGGUUCUGACCGGGUCCUGCUUGUAUCCCAAAGAAUCAACACAACACCAGGGGCCUUGUUUAUAAAACCUUGCGUAGGAUUUGCGCCAGAAGUGGCGUACGGAUGAAACAUAGGACGUGCGUACGCACAGAAAUAUUCAGACUUAUUAAACGGUGUGCAUGCACAUCCUACGCAGUUUUCCCUUAAUAAAUCACAAUCACUUCUAAAUGCAGCGUGGCCGAAAUAAAUUUGUAUUUAUGUUUGUUUUACGUUGCAGAUCGAUCAAUCGGGUGUGAAAGGCAGUAUUGGCAUUUCAUUUACACACUUUCACACACGUUUGCCUGUUUCUUGCAUUUGCCGACGGUUCUCAUUUCACCCGUUUUUGUGCGUACGCAUGGGUCCGAGCUUGCGUGAAGGACCGCACAUUUUUCCGUCAAGUUUGCUUUUUAUAAAUACCAAUUAUUGCGUAGAGCGGCGUACGCAACGUUUAUAAAUGAGGCCCCAGGAGAUUACAAAACAAGAUUCAAAGAUUUUUAUUGUCAGUUACACAGGCUCUGUGUAUUGAAAUUCUUGCGCUUGCCUUUUCUGGAAAGCCGACCAAUUUAAAAUAAAAAUACAAUAUUUACAUAAAUGUACAUGAAAUAAAAAUAAACAAGACAAGAUGAUUUGUUUGUCAGACAGCUUCAAAGAGACUUAUGCUCACCCUCAUAUGUUAGCGCUAACGGUUGUGGGCAUUAUUGGAGAGGUAAAGGAGGAAGAAAAAUUGUAAAAUAAGAUUUUCUGUGUAACUGAAUCAUUCAGAAGCAACUCUGGACUCCGGAAAAAAAAAGUCAUAUAAUUUCCUCCAUACAAUUUAGCGUGACUGUCUCCGGACCCGGACAGUUUUUAGCUAACUAUCCGGUAAAAUAUUGAUAAAAAAUAUCAUGUAAUGUUUUCAGGGGAUUUAACAGUGUUAAAGUAGGCAUUAGGUCCUUACCUUUCCAGCCAAUUACUGUUUUAAGUAUGAAAGUACACACUUUCGUAACCAGAGUCGGUAAAAAGACGCUAACGCCGUUGAAUUAGCCCUGCGCUGCUAUAGGCAUAACCCGGACAGACGUCCAUCGCCAACAUUUGUUUUUCCGCGGAGAUUAAACAUUGGUUAAAGGGUGGCCGAAAUUACAAUCAUAGAAGACGGUACAGUUGACGUCGACAGGGGGAGGGCCGCUGACGGUACGCCAAAGUCGUCCACAUUCCGGCGGGCUCCACUGGAUGCCCCGGUGGGCCGGAUGUGGCCCACGGGCUGGAGGUUGAGUCCCCUGACGUAACGGUUUCCUGACCCAGACAGUGAAAGCUAAUAGCGCCCUGACCUGGACACACACAAUUUGACGCGGUUUCCGAUAUUUUUCUGCUGUCGAUUGAAGCGGGAUAUUUUAUUGUAAAAGGCCAAAAUUGGGUUACCGGCUAUGUUAACAGCAUUGAUGGUAAUUUGACGACCCUUUAACCAUUAGUUAAUCUCCGCACUUCUACCCAUGUCAUGGCAAUACCAGUGCACUGCUAAUUCACGGGCGUUAGUGUCUUUUUAAAGACUGUGGUUAGGAAAAUUUUAACUUAACUCAUGAUUCCAAAAGUAUGUGGCUCGAAAGUUACGGCUUACUUUAAUACCAAUAAAUCACGGUACAUUACAUGAUAAUUUGUAUCAGUAGUUUUACUGGAUAGUUAGCUAAAAGCUGCCCGGGUCAGGACACCGUUACGUUAUGUAUUUUAAAGUGUUAAUUGACACAAACAUGAUCCUCACAAAAACAUGUGAGGAUCAUUACUGACAGGCAGCACGGCAGGGCUGCCCUUCUUUUCAGACCUUAAUUGUUUCCUUCAGAAUGACAACAGGGAUGUUCUCCCUGUUUUAAAUGGGUCUUUUCUUCUAUUCUGUUUCUAUUGUUUUUCUGCAGUCUCGUUUUGAUAGCCAUAACUUGUGCAGCAAAUGGACCGCAAAACAUCCCGACACAAUUGAAAAGACAAUACAGGCAAAUGGGCAAACUUUUGCACACAAGGUGUAAUCAGACUCCGGGUACUUAUGUAUAAUAUUUUUGAAAGAAAAUAAAUUCUAGAAUUAAUAGGUUGUAUGUAUGUGUGCUUUCCAAACUUGACUUUCUAUAAAAUGACAUGACGUAUAAAUAUCCAGGAGACGCAUUAUAAUGUCAAGGGCAAGGACAUGAUUAAUUUGCUUAAUACAACUUGAGUGGUGGCACAAUGGAAUAAAUUAAUUAUCACAUUUUUCUGUUAAUUUGCAGGUGUUAUGACUUCCUGCAUCUGUAUUAUGCAUGGCAGUUAAAAAUACCUCAGCAGUUAAACAGUACACGCUGCAGUAGUGGAUUUCAUCAACAUGGCCCGUGGUAAAUCCUUGGCUCAACAAAGGCUACAGUUUAUCACAAGCCCAAAUCUUCUCCCCUUUCCUGCCUGAUCCAUUCACUGAUACGCAAAGGAAUUCAAUCAGGCCAGGCUUCCUGACAUGAAAAGGAUUUCUGGUAGCAGUGGCGGGACUAUAGUGCUGAACUGACUUCAAUAGCUCACCAGACCUUUAAGGAUGGUCUUUUGUUGCACAACAUUAAAGGUGACCCCCACGCCUUUAUCACAGUGAUUGAGCAAGUGCUAAUGCUCAUCAUAGGUUUGAAUUGAAAGAUUGCUGGCGACACCGUGCGUCACUGAGAACAAAGUGGGCAGUAUCCUCUUAUUUCUUCAGUCCCCCACUAACAGGAGUCAAACAGUCAGUCUGCAGGAUUGCAAUGCUGUCAGACUGUAUUAUUGUUGGGAAAAAAAUAUUGUGUUCUUGAGGAGAAAGCUGCAAAUUUACUUUGUUAAGUGAUUUUAAGAAUAGUCAAACACAGAGGCAUUUAUGGAGAAUAUAAUGGAGAAGAUACAGCUCACUCCCAUCUACUGGGUAUAAAUUAGGUGUAGAACUGUCUAUUACAAAACAAUUCACAAGAUACUAGAGAUGAGAUGACAAUCUCAAGUUAUUUCACUUUUUGAUUCUCAUUAAAUUAGAAUUUUUCAAAAAACUGCCUAUUUGUAGUGAUUUACAAUUGAUUUGAUUUUCAAAAUAUACAAAAAAAUAGAACUCAACUGAAUGGGUAAAAACACACAAUUCAGUCAUGUGAUUUAACAAGCUACCCGCCAUUACAAAUUACAUAAAAAAAUACUUCUCUUCAAACAAUUCCCCCCGAUAAAAGGUUAUGACAAUUUAGCGCCAGUCCAAAAAUUUGGAAAACGUGGUGAAACUCAAAAUUGGGGAAAAGUAUGGGUACGGUGACGUACGUUCACUACAAUCUGUGGAACUGUCAUUCCGCAUAGUGUGUUUAUACCAUCCUAACCGCCUAAAUCAGUGACUUUAUGAUUUUAGCUGUUUGUUUGGUUGCUAAUGUUUCAAUUACUGCAAGAACAACAACCACGACUUUUAAAAGGUACCUAAAAUAUAUAUAUUUGGAUGGAGAAGUCUCAGAAAUAAUUAAUUUAAAAAAAAAAAACACUGAAAUACUACUAAGAGAUGCAUUAUUUACUAAAAGAUUUACAGUAGUCAACAGGACAUUUGUAAUUAGGAUUUACAUCUGUGCAACACACUUAAACAUGCCUUAUCAACAAGCGUGACUGACCCAGAUUGAGGCUUUCCUGUGACAUUACUAGUGGCUGCACUUAUGCAUGUCUAACGGCCAAUGCACAUCUGUGUUUUAAUAGACGUUUUUUGGCAGUUGGUGAUGCUUUCAUAAUGCCCUAGUGAAAUAUCUUUUUUUCAGGAAGGAAGACACCAAAAACAUGUUUUUGAUACAUUUUUAUUUUGAAUAUGAAGAAUGCAAUUUAAUAUUGAAUAGAUAAACAUAGAUUAGGUGAAAUUAGCUUGUCAACAAAAACAUAAUGCUUUCAUAAUUCUAAAAACCUUUAUUUCCAUUGAGGGUUCAUACCAUAAGUAUAGUUAUGAGCUACACUAACAACUCCCCUAGGCUAUGGCUGUGUUGGUAAGACUAAGGUUGUCUUUUGUAUUCCAUAAAGGAUUCCUAUUACACUUUACUUCCAGCGAGAAAGGAUACACGGCUCACAAUAAAGCAGAAACAUCCAGUAUGUUUUCAUACCAGCCAGAGGUACAGGCUUUGUCUCAAGCUUCAAAAAGAAAAACAUCUUUUCUUUCAACUUUCUUUAGAUUUACUUUCAUUUCAUUCCUCACAUUUGGAGUAAGCAGAGCAACACUGCAUAUAAAUAACCAUUUCUCCUAUUCACUGCUUACUCAGUCAGCCUGUUAAAGUUGACAGAUCCAGUACCAGGUCCAGUGGUGUAGUGAUAUGAUAGUUUAUUAAUAAAAUAUAUGCAUGGUAUACUUAUUCGAGAAAAUGUUGUCUCAAAAUCAAUAUCAAGCUCUGGGGACUUAUUUCUAUAAAAAAAAGGAAAUUAAGUUGUCUAAAAUCAUGAACAAGAUGACUUCGGAGCUGCAAUUGUCCAGACUGUAAAAUAAGCAAGCACAGGAUUACAGUGUUUGUGUGCAAAUGGUGAGACAAAACGGACACAAGCUAGCAUAGGUUUGUAACUCUGACAUUUUCUUAACAUCAAGUUACUAGAGAGUAAACCCAAGUUAGGACAUCAUGGUCAUAAAAGGCCAAAACAAUAAACAAAACUCCCCCACAAACUAAAAAAACGAGCUCAUCUUCCCUUCCAAAGUACAGAGGAAUACUGGACUAGCCAUCAAAAAGGAGACUACAAGGACCGUAAAACAAAUGGUAGGAACCUCUAUAAGACUUCCAUGCUGAAUUGCGCCUUUGUUUAAACAGUACAACAAUAAAUUUGUUUUAGCAUUUCUUUUUAUUUCUGAAAAUCAUGUAGGUCCUUUGAACAAAUGUCUGUCAUUGAACUUGAUGGCAAGCCAGGCCAUUAACAAAUAGCAAGCGGUGGAGAGGGCACAAUUCGAGUUCACAUGCUGCAUAACAAAAAUAAUUGAAGUUGAUAAAUAUCAACUUUUCAUUCACUUCCUCCAAACUUUGUGUACUAACAAUGCAAAUUUACAUCUGAGCCUUCACUCUGCUUGUUAUUGAGAGAUCAUACGAUAUGGACUUGCAUUCCCAUGAUGUUGCAGAUCUUGACUGUUCUGGGCCUGAAGCAUGCUUCCUGUCAGUGGGGUGCGACAAAUGUCAGUGCUUUGGAAUGAUAUUUUGGUCUAGAGUCUAGAGUCUUAAUUAACUCAUAGAUUUAUUCACAGUAAUGAAAAUAUUUUAACAAUGGCAGUCACGUUACCGUUAGGGCUUGCUCUCCCUUCACCGAUCACCCCAUUUAUCCACUAGAAUGUUCCUCCACCUCCCAUAAAAAGGGGAACUUCUCUCAGAAACAGCGCCAAGUAGCAUAUUUGCAUUGCAUUAGUGCAUUGGCAUUUCAAACUGAUUUAUCAAACUUCCCCCUAAGAGAUUGCAUGCUGUGUGUGCAUCUGUAAAUAGAAAAAAAGAUGGCAUGACUUAAUACAGCACUCGUGUUUUCAUUCAUCCGCUCUAUUAACAUGUGAUUCAUUAACGCACCAUUUACCCAGUUCAGUGGGUCUCUGAGGUCAAAAUAUUGAUGAUGAACCACUAGCUACGAGGAUGUGGGCUGCGCAUGAUUUUGUCACAAGAGGGUAAUUUAACCAUGCCAUGAUGUGCUUGAGAACAGAAAAGAAAAGUAGGAGGUGAGGCUUUGGCUGAGGGGACUACUAACAACAGCGCACCGGCCCCUGCAGUGGCUAGCAUGCCGGCUUUAUUAGUUUAGCGCCACAAGCUUCUCCCCUUACAGAGUGUGUAUGUGCCAGGAUGGAGGGGAAGUAAUGCUUUGCGUGUGUGUGUGUGUCUGUGUGUGUGUGCAAAUGCAUGUGGGUCUGUCUCCUUGUAUGGCUAUUUUUGUUCAUUACAAAAAUAAUUUGUGCUUGCUGUACAGACAGUAUGCGGUAAUAUGAAUUUAUUCUGUUGUCUGUGUGUGUAUGUGUGGAUAAUGUGUGUGCGUGUGUGUUUGUGUCAGGUCCUGUGAGGUUCCCAGCCUGUUAUGUGAUGAACAUGAAUCUCCGUGAAGUUGAACAGACGGUGACGCAAAGCCCUUGAAAAAAACAAAACAAUGCAAACCUUUAAAUGGCAAGUUCCACAACAAGACUCUAAUAAAGGGGGAUGACUUGCUGAAUUUUAAUUACUGCUUUAAAAUCCCUCAUUAGAAUUUUCUACAAUUUAAAGGCUGUUUUCUAAGAAUGUUGGGAUUUAGCAGUCUUCUCAGAUUAUGUAUCUUCAAGAUAAACAAGGCGCAAGGUGCACUUCUUUAGGCAUGAACGCCAAAUAAGAGAAAAGGUGGGGUAGAUGUUGCAAAAUUCAACAGCUGCAAUAGUAAAUAAGGUUUAUGUGGAAAGGAGAGAGAAUUCUCGCAUCGGUCACCAUGGUAACCGUCAAUGUUGUUGAUCCCUUGGGGAGGGAAGAGGCAUCUCUUUCUUCACACCAACACACUCUCACCUUCGCUGCUCCAGCUACCACUGUGUCCAAUACUAGUCUCAAGUGGUCAUCCCAGAUUUCAUAAACACUGCACAGCACCGUUGCUCAAUUAGAUAACGAUUAAUUUGGGGAAUGCAACAAAUUGUAUAAAACAAUGCAACAUCGCUUGUUGACCGGUUGAGAACAAAACCGAGAGAUCCUGAUUCAAGUGAGCCUAAAGCAGUCAAGCUGUUAUUAAACAUGGCGUCGCUGCCAGGAGUGGAGCAGUAGGGAGCCAGAAAACUAUCUCCUCUCCAAGAUGUUUGCCAAGGAACUGGCUUUGCACCAGAAUCACAUUCUUGCUGUGAAUUUGAAUAAGCAAUUAUUUUCAGUUUACUGUGUGUUUUAUCAUGCAUUCAGUCAUAUAUUUUCAGAAAACACAGAUGGAAAAAAAUUAACUGUUAAGAUUUUCUCUGUCUUGUUAAGACUUUGUUUGUUUCAAUGACACCUUCUUUCCUGUGAAUUUGCUUUUAAUAAUACCUCAUCGUCAAACAUUUUCCUGUUAUUCUUAACGACUAAUAAUGCCUGAAAUAACUUCACAGCAAAGAGAGGGGUAACAAAGUAUUCAGAAAGUUAUAUUCCUAGAGACAAAUUUGCCAUAAAGCUAUACAAAGUUGCCUUUCAUUCAUUACACGUGAGUGUGUUUGGGGGAUCAGCACUGACUGUCAAAUUCGUGCAGGGGAGAGCAGAGGAAACUUGCUAGUACAACUCCCCAAGGCGGAAACGAAUUCUCCUCUUGUUUCCCUGUUGAUCUCUCCCUGGUUGACAUGUCCUGUUUUCCUUUCCAACUCGUUCAACGGCUAACAGGCUCAUUUGAGCCAUUUCUGCAGGGAGACAAGGGUGUAGUCAUUUGAAUAAGAGUCGCCCAGACCAGACUCGUGGUGGCAUGGCUUCCUGCGCAUUCAGGCCAAUUCGUGAUUGCCGUGCAGGGAGCCAUCGCAGAUAUCUGCACUAUCCUUUUCGUCCAGGACAAAUCAGCCAUUCAGUGAGCGCGUGCUUUUGAACUUCAUGUACCCUUUGAAUAGAAUAGAUGUCAUAAGAACGUGCCACAAUAAAAUUAGCCUGUUAAACUAUUCUGAUGUAAAUGAUUCAUGAUUUAAUGGGGGGGGGGGGGGGGGGUUAUAUUACAUUUUACAACAAGUUCAUGCUUGUGGUAUUUUCCCAUGUCUCUCUUUAUUCGGUCACAGUAAACAACAUUUGUUAAGUGCUUUCCAAACUUGCAGUUGCCCUGUGGAUGAUCCAAAUGUCAAAAGUUUGUAUAGUUUUAUGUAAAGACUAAAUAAUUACUUGUUUGCAAGACACCUCAAUAUAUUAGGCCCUGUACCAGCUGACCGAAUGCCACUUUUUUACCUGUUUGCAUUUCAUCAUACAGCAUAUAACCACAUAUAUUGAAAGCUGUGCGCAUGAAAUGACAUCCUGCCAUUCAAAAUCAAAUUGACUUUUUAAAGAUUUAUCUUUUGAAACCAAAUAAGCUACACUGGCCUCGAACAAGGCCUGUCACCAGAUAUUUUGAUUAAGAAUGCUUCUUUCUGAUUUCUUUAACUGAGAGUUUGCAUUGGAGACAUGAAUAACUGAAGGGACAUGACUGAAAAUCAUAAAACUCAAAGUCGGGUGAUAUUCCUUAUAUUCAGUGCAUGGGAUAUACAGUACGUUACAACUUGUGAUGCUGGUUGUGCAUUUUUACCUAUUUCACAAAAGAAAAAUGUAAACAAUGAAUGUUUAUCUUAAUAAAAUGAUCCCAAUUCCUUGUUGAAUCACCCAAAAUAUGAUGCAGGGUAAUCUAGUUCAUACUGUCAUGCAAGAAGAAAAACAACAUUGUUGUAUUACAGUAUUUAUAAUAAAGUUUAUCACAACAAUCAUAAUUUGCAUGCUAUUUUCAAGCUAAAAUUUCCCAUCUGCAAAAUGGUUUGUUUUUGGUCUUUGGUUCUGUUGUUAUGAAAGGCCUGGCAGUCUGAAUAUCGGGUGUGGAGGAUUUAUGGUGAACAUUGGAGUGUUAUUUCAGUGCUUAUUUGACGCUAAAUGUUCUUCUCUCUUUAACUUUCAAAGUCACCAUUUUUUCUGUUAUAAUAGGACUGGGGACAAUUAGACACAAUAGGUCUCUUAUAUUACUCCACUUCUAUUAAUGUGCUUAUCAUUCAUUUUAGAAUUACUUUUACAUCAAAUAACGAUCAUUGGGUCUUCUUGGGUUGUGGAGAGAUGAUCCUAAAAUGGAGAGAGGUCCAGUAUGCUGUGGCAUAUUGACACAUAUCAGUGCUGCAUUUUAAUAGAAAAUACAGCUAUUUCAGGAUAAUACAUUUAUUUACAUAAGCUUUUUAGUUUUUUAAUAAGAUUUUGUUGUAAUAUUUUGUCAAAUUUACAAUCCUUCGAGGAUUUUAAAACUAUGUUGAAAGCAUUGAAUGCAUUUUGCGGCCCGUGUCUGAGGUGCGCCACCUAUCUUGUCUGAAAUUGGACGGUUCAGCAUGUCAGCCUGCUUCUGCAGAUAUAACCUAGAGCCUUGGAGAUAUGAUCAUUAAAAAAACUGUUACCAUUUCCGUCAGCAUUGUUGAAGUUAACAUGGCCUACUAGUUUUCACUGAUCCAUCUCCGUUGUUUCAUGCAUUGAAGCACGUAGAGUGGAAGGACUAGCUUAUCAACUUCUCUUACAAACAAGUGGAUACUAUAUAUUUUUGUAUAACACUUACUCUAUGUACAUUAACAUACUGUGGUAACACCCCAUUAAGCAACUUCCGUUGCUUGCCGUGUCUCACUUCAUUGCUACAAGUAUGAUUGUAGGGACAUUGAUAAAAACAGAAAAUAAAAUUGGAGCUUUUAAUUUACCGCUACAUUGUCAGUGAACUUGAGUAGAACGUUGCUUGUGCUCUGAUAAUAGGCCAAUAAUGGCUUAAAGCCAGUACACACAUGGCUUAAUUGAAUCUUUCCUUUACUAACCACAGCUUUUGUGUUGGCUGGUGCAGAAUCUAUACCGCCUGCUAUAGCAUGUUUGUGAGUAACAUGCUGCAGCAUUUGGUUUGUCGUAUGAGUCCUAAACUACACUAAAUUGGUAGAAAUGUGUGCAGUUUAAAGCAAACAUUGGCUGUCGGAGUUCAAAAUGCUCAACGGAACAAAUUACAUUCAACAAUCUCAGCCUGACCUGAGAGUCUAACACUGGACGCUUCAACUUCAUGUGCUCUUAAAUAGGUGUGGAGAGUUCUGUAAAUGUAUUUAGGUCUGUAUGUGCGUAAUUGGAUUUGUACGAGCAUUAAAAGGUCUCUAAAUGUGUUCUGAGAUUUGUGGAUGAGGUCCGCAAAUGUGUGUUGGAGAAUAUGUGUGUGUAUUUAUCAGACUCCAUUAUCAAAAUAAUCCAAAUCUGCAACUAGAUUUACAUGAUUUUUUAAGAUACAUGGCUUUGCCACAAAAUCGUCCCCAUAAAAAAUGAUUUUUCUUUCAUUGUCCAGGCCAUGGUUUGCACCAAAUAAAAACUGUAAACUCCCUUAAGUUUUCAAUUACAAUUAUUUAAUUUCCAACGGCGUAUGCCCAGAUUUUUUGUGGUGAAAUGUAACUGGGUACAUAUAAUAAACGGUUGUAAUUGAGUGAAGAUGGUUGUACUCAAUACUAGUAUUUCCAUUUUCACUUAGGAGGGGGGGUUAUGCUGCAAUGACACACGGAUGGCCGUGAUGAACAAAAAGAUUGUAAUGCUUAGUGUUUUGGGGCUUAGUUAAUGAGCAGAGAUCAGUCAUUUACCAUGUGGCACCCUGUUUAACACGUCCUGCAUCCAGCAGGGCUUUACGCGUACUAAAUAGUUUGAAGCUUUAUUCAUGAAGUUGACAUUUCAAUUUGAAUUCAUAACUUCUCGAAUAUAUCAGUCAACCUUCUCUUUUCUCAUUUUCUCACACCGCCAUAACAAAUCCCAGUUCCCGAACGAAAAGAUUUACUGAAAAAAGAAAAAUGCAUGUUUCGAUCCAAAAGAAAAUUAUUUUUUACUUUUAAAUUUAAAAUACGACAUUUAGUCCAGCUCUAUUUUCAACUGAUCUACUCAUUUCACUAAUUUGUAAAAAAGCUUUAAACACGUCAAGCCAAAUAAUAGAGUUGGCAACGACAUUUGGUCUUUUGUCAUCCAUGGGGGGAAAUUCCAGAUUUCUUUACUUGUGGCCCGGAUGUAAUUUGUGAAUACAAUCUAGAGUUUGACCUGCUUGUGUGAGUGGAAAACAAGAGCAGUGGUUGGAACCCUUCUUUAAAAGGGACCUCUUCCCAUUUCUGCCUAUCUUUUUGGUGUAAAAUGUUUUCUUGUCCCUUGCCACGGGGAGUUCAGAGGUCAGAGUGCAGGGGCAGGCAUAAAUCCUUGCCCAUGUAGUUGGGACGGAUUCAUUGUCUUACUCGAGACACUUAAGCUAGGCAGGCUGGAGGGCUGAUUAUAGGAUGGUCCCUCACCAUAAUGCCACCCUACUGACAAUAAAGCUUACAAUGACCUUUUGGAAUGUCACAUCCCAAACAGUGCCAGUGUGAGAUAAUAGGCUUCGCUGUCACAAAAGCCGACCUCAAAUAAAAGAGAAAACGUGACCCAAAAAUAGUGCUGUCAUGAGAGGCAUGCAGAGAUUGAAAUUACCUUCCCUGGAAAUGAUCACGCAAAACUUAAUCCUGACGUUAACGGAUCAACAGUCAAUCUGUCAAUCAAUCAAAGGUUAACAAGUCUAUCAAUAUGCGGACACGGACAAUGAUCCAGACACUUGACCUUUUCCAGGGCUUAAAUCUCGACAUUGGUGUGUUAGAGGGUCUGACAGUAGAGUUAGUUGUGGCGCUGAGUAAAAUUGGAUGAAUCACAAUUUGGAUUUUAUUGGCAGGGUCAGAAAUUAACAGGAGCACGGGGAGAGAAAAAACAACUCUAAAAUUCAAAAAAUGGCUGGGAAAUAAUUUAAAAAAGAAGGGUAGGCCCAUGCCCCCAGGUUGUAAAAAAUACCCUAUUUUGCAUUUCACCCCUUUCACCUUAUAUCCAUUGAGCUGUCAAAUAUUCACAUGUGAAUGUGCCCACCGGGUAGUUUUCAGGUGAUUUGUAGCCACCCGUAACAACGUAAAUAUCUCUGGACAAGGCCAACGGUGACUAUCUAUAAUUAGAAAAGAAAUACGAGCAGACACAUUCAACCUGCAACAAAUGUUUGAUUUUUACUGUUGAUGUGAUGAUGGCUCCACGAAUGGCGAAUCUUCAGUGUAUGAAGGUUUAAUUACCAAUAUGCAACGCUAAUAAAAAAAGACUAUGCAGCAUAAUCAGGAUUAUUGACUGUCCCUUUUUAAUAUGCACAUAUCUCAAAGAAAGAGCUGCCCAUUUUAGAGAAGUGGAAAAAAAGUUUUCACAUAAUUGUGCAGAAGGGCAAACAACUUUGUAUUGUAGUAUCGUAUAGUAUUACUGAAUUUGAUCAACAGGGUGUUGGAAAGGCGAAGUCAGAUCAGAUAAAUUGGGGAGGGAAUAAUAAAACCCUCCAAAAUUGACUAGGACUCGAGAAGAAUAUGAAUAUUUACUGUCACUGGAUGAAAUGGGGCCAUCAUCUUCAUCACUUUUAUGUUUACCUUCACCUACAAAACGCUACUUUUGCCAGAUUCAGAUUUACUCCAUUGUGCUUUGAUUAUUCCUAUUUUUAUAGCAUAUUCUAAUUUUAUACGUGAAAGUGCAUCCAGCAAUUGUAGCUAUCGCUCUUUUGGUACAUGCACUGACAUAUUAUUUUUCACAUGUUACAUUACAUUAAAUGUCAUUUAGCUGACGCUUUUAUCCAAUGCGACUUAUGUAUAAUAAUAAGUGCAUUUCAACCAUAAGGAUAGAAACUCAAGAGAACAAGAAACAAGCUUUAUCCAGCUUUUUUCUUGUUAAUGCACAGUUUAGUGAUGGGUAAUUAUUGAAAUGCUCCAGUUGCUUUUGUUUCUGUAUUUCUUUCUUUGUUUCACACAGAAAUGAUGACCUUCAAAGUGUUUAUGUUACCAUGUCUGAUCCUGUAGAAUAAAAGCUCUUAAGAUGCCUAACAUUAGAUGGGAGGCAACCUCCAUAAGCACUUUUCACAGUGUUACGUUGUGUAGAACGUGUCCCUUAUGAGGACAAUUUAAAUACAUCAGUUCAGUGCUGGCAAAGAUAUCCACCCCCAUAGACCGACAGACACACACACACAAACGCACACUGGCACAAACCACGGAGAAAAAUGCAGGUAAAUACCCAACAUGACAGAUCCUAUUCUACUUGUGUAACGUUAAGAGGGAUGGAUAGGUGCAGGCCAAACAAAAUAUUAAUACAGAGUUGCGGUUUUGAGAUGUGACGAGAGCUGCGGCAUUACACUCAUUCAUCUUUUGCUUUGCUUUUCCUCCAGGCCAUAAUAUUUCUCAUCAAUCAGCAAGUUAUGUGUCAAGUGAGAACAAUUCCGCACAAAGUGAAUGUCAAGCUCUCUUCACUGCCCAUUUUCUAAUCUGGGUAAAUGAAUGGCUCUCUGAUCCUGAUGAAUAUGUAUUGAUAGUGUGAAGAUGGUAUGCAACACAGGAAAGACGACCUCACAUGCUAAUAGGGAGACAUCUUCGCUCGAACAAAUGAAUAUUCUAUAUUCUAUCAACUGUAAAUUAUAUAGGGGCACAUGUAAAAGUUUUAUACUGUAUAUAGUAGCAAUGUACCAUUGUUUAAUGUCUCUUAAUUGCUGUUCUAUAAUACUCUAUAGCUGCUCAUGAAUUCAAACCAACACAUGCACAGUUAUUGUGCUCAUUAGUAACUUUGCCCUUAAAUAGUCACUCCGUGAUACGUCAGGGAUGACAUUAUUGUUUAACGUUUAAAAUUAGCAAAGCAGAGCUUGUUUACGUCUCUGCUUGAUCGUCAGUUUUUAAUUAUGUUUUAAUGUUAACAAUUAGUAUUGAACUGUAGUCAGCAAACUUGAUUGGAAUCCUCCAUGAACAAAGCUGUCUUUGAAUCUUUUAUUGUUAGGAGUAAUACAUUAAGUUGAAAAAAGAAACACUUGAUUUUUUUGCAAACAAUGUGUUUUGUAUUUGGUCUUAAUCCUUAAGAUUUGAUUUUCUGUACACAAAUGCAGGGAAGUCUACAUUUAUGAAUAAAACCCUUUUAAAGAUGGAAAAAGUAUUAAGUAGCCUUUGAACCACAAGAUAUCAACAUGCUGUGUGAAUGACACAUAGUCAUAACUUAUGCACUACCAUCAACACUUGGAAUAUGAACUAUUGUGCUGUUUAGACAUCACGUCCUGACAAACAUCAAUACUUUAUAACCUGUUAAAAUAUUUACAAUCAAUGUUUAUGGUGUUCAUGCUGUUUGAUUAAGCUAAAAGCUGCUGUCAGUGGACAACGACCCAAAUCAUCUUCGGCUGAAGCCUUUCCUCAUAUUAUCUCUGCAUAUAGAACUGCAGUGUUAUGCCCUACCUCCUAUUCAAAAUCAUAUAUCUCCUUGUAUUCACUCCGGGUGCAGUGUUAAUGUGGAAAUCAAAGAUAUAUAUUUUAAACCUUGCUUAAAGAGCAAAUACAGUUUCUUGCCAAAGCCGUAGCCCUGACAGUGUCACGAACAACUCGUAAUAUGUACCAUCGCUCUUGAAUUCAAUUCGAGUAAUAAUUUCUUAGCCGUCAGCAACACUACAUCAAGGUUUCACUCAUCAUUUAGAAACACAUGGAUUGAAAAAGGAGGAGAGGAUUGGUCAUCUGAUGCUGUCACUUUCUUUUUACUGUGCCCGCUUAUUUUUCCCCAGCAUCACUCUGCAGAAUAGCAGAGUAAGUGUCACCAUUGAAGUGUGGUCCUCUAACCUAACCGCACACCCACCAGUCCACCCACCAAUCCAUCUCAUUCAUCCAUCCGUUCAGCUACGCAAUGUAUCAUGCGCAAGAAAAAAAAAAUGUCAAAAAGAAAAGAGCAAAGCAUCUGACAAUGACAUGUCAACCAUCUGUUACUCUGUUAAAAUGGAAAAUCCAUUGUGUGUGACGAUGGAGAUGGUAGUUAAAGUGGAGGUCAUGUGGUCCUGUGUUAUCUAAUUCCAUGUUAAGACAUCAAGCAAUCCAAAGCACACAUAAAGCACAAAAUAGACAUCUGUCUAUCCAGCUACCUGAUUUAGAGCCACCCCUUCCUACUAAGUGCCCCAUAUAGAUGAUGCAAUUUACAAUUCCAUCACACCUUCUUUUUCCAGCCCUGUAGCAUGUUGAAGUGCUGUUGUCCAACAAGAAAUGCAGUUUAGGUGGCAGUUAAAGAUUAAGUGCAAUGAUUUUAAUUCCAUCAGGAAAUGCUUGCUCCGUCUUUCUAGCACGAGCAGUGAUUUUGAUGGCCCAUUUAAUUUGUCACUGUUUCUCCAUGCUCAGCCAAUUUCCAUUAGGUUGAGUCAGAGUGGCCCUGGUCGACACGCGUACUAACACCCAUUUCUUGUUGGCCAUCAUGUCUGAAACGUAAGUAUCCAGUUUGUAUUCCUUCCCUCUGCCUCAGAAUCUGCCUUCCCCGCUCACUUGUUCAACCAUGACAGACCAAAUCCCUCGCUUUUAGCUCAUCUUUUCCACUUAACUUUAAUAGUGUGAACGACUAAUUUGCAUGUUUGAGAUCAAGAUGCACAUCGAUGUCAUCUUCUCCAAGAAUACCUUACUUUUUUACCAGUCACCAUGGCAAUAUUUUUUCCAGAUGUUCUCUCCAAUCUCUGUGCUGAGUACAGGAAAACUUUUUUUAAAAAUGUACUGUUGACCAAUAAGAAUAUUUGUUAAUAACUGGGUAAUUUCAAUACU